This 87179-nucleotide long non-coding RNA is filed under the name Gossypium barbadense (sea-island cotton). Its description in RNAcentral is "long non-coding RNA (GBAR_LNC014662)". The record is from RNAcentral. Lineage: Eukaryota; Viridiplantae; Streptophyta; Magnoliopsida; Malvales; Malvaceae.
UUUUUUUUUGUUUUUGUGAAACUUGACAUAAAUAUGUAUCUGUUUUAAUGGUUAAGUGAUUUGAGGGUAUGUUUGAGGUCUUGGGUUCAAGUCUCACUUUUGGAAAUUCUGUUAUUUUUUCUCCUAGCCUUAUCCAUGUUGGAUAGGCUUAUGUAAUAUUAUUUCUAAACCCAUAUUAGAAUGAGUUUGCUGGUUCCAGUGGUAAGGAGUUAACUUACUGGAGGUUCUGUGUUCGAAUCCCUGCGUGAGCGAGGGUGAUAAUUUUUGUUUUCGGUUGGCUGAGAGAGUUUGGACGGACUUGAAAUUAUGAGUUGGUUGGGUUGUUAGUGGAUGUAGUGGGAUUAUGUUCAAAUUAAUCAAUUUUAUUUUUAUCUUAUUUUUAUUUUAUUCUUCUCUCUCUUCCCAAAUACCUUUUGACGUUUCUUCUCCAAACUCCUCUUCCAAACGUUUUCUUUUUUGAUUUCUUCUUUCUUUGAUUUCUGUUUUCUAUACUGUCAUUCAAUCACUGUGUUUUGGGUUUCGUAAUCCCUACUUAGACUGUGGUAGCUAAGUAUUCUUGAAGUUUUGUACAAUUGGAAAUCGUUUUUAGAUGUGUUAAUAUGGUGAAUUCUUGUGUAGGUGUUAGUCAAGAGGAUCGAAAUUCAUCUUCUAUCAUGUAGUAUGUUUGGGAUAUCGUAACUAUUUUGGUAAGUGAUCGAGCCUUUUAAUUAAGUACAAUUUUCAUGUCAAGUGAGGUUUUGAUUCAUUGGUGUUUCGGUACUUGGAAUUGAUUGAUUGGAUGGUGUUUUUUAGGUUUGAACGGUUCAGGAUUGCUUACACCUCAAAAUCAAACCAGAUGUGUACUCCUAACACGAGAAAAUGAUGUUCGACGAAAGCCAAAAACUGGGUCUGUCAAAGGUAUAUAGGCGUGUGGCUGGCCGUGUGUGAGACAUGGCCGUGUGACUGUCGUAGGUGUGGCUGUGUGCGAGACACGAUCGUGUGACUGUCGUAGGUGUGGCCGUGUGACGGAAUGUAGCCGGACUGGGCGUGUAGUUUUUGGGCCAGCUUAUGUGAGCCACACGGGCAAGGCCAAUUUGGGCGUAUGGGCCCAAAAUUUUGAAAUUUUUCCCUAGGGUCGCACGGGUCAUUUCCAUCAACUGUUUACUUACCGUAAGGUCGGUAAUGGCUAACCAAACCCUAUUUCAUGUGAUUUGAUAUUCUGAUAACCUAAUCUGAGUAGGAUUCUAAUAUGUAUGUUUGACUGUACUCCUUAAGUAUGUAUUUAUUUGUAAAGUACGCUUAUUCUGAUACUUCAGCAUCCGUAUUUUGUAUUUGUGUUUAAGGUGGGAUUGUUAUAUGUAGAGGAAGCGAUCUAUACAGUGACUUUUUACCUAUAUUUUGGGAGCUUAACUGCAUAUUAUCUGAUAAGGGUCACAUCGACACCAUAUGGUGUGUAGGGAUGGGUGGGUGUUUUUAACCCCACAUGGUGUGAUGGGAUAGAUGGAGAUGGUGUAUAAAGGAUGGGGGUAAGAUUCUAUAUGUCUAAUAUGUUUAUCUGAUAUCUGUUUUUGUUAAGCACAGUGAUUUGAAUCUGUAUCUGAUUACUUAUGACAUUCGGUGUGUGUGUGUGCAUGACUGUCUCUGUUGGGGUACACACUAAGUUUAUGAAAACUCACAUCUGUUUGUCUGAUCUGUAAAAGUAACCCUCAGUCAUAGGCUGGUCGAUGCGACGAAGGCUCAGCAGUGACCACUCGUGGGGAAACUGUUCCUUCUAUUUUCAUUAGUUAUCGGUAUUUUAAAUUCUGGAUUCAUUUGAAAGUUUCUAACUUUUGGAACUCUUUAGACUGUAUGGCUUUAGCUGUUGUUUUGAUUUUUUGCUUUUGGUUGUUUCUAUACUACAAAGAUUAACGAAAAUAAUUUACAAAAACUAAGUUUUUUUUGAAAAUAAGAAUUGGAUUAAAAAAUAUAAAGAUGUUUGUAAGACUUUCACUGCAAAUUAUGUUUUGGAAAAUGAAUUAAUUCGUGACGGUUUGGGUAAUAAAUUGGUAAAUGAAUAUGUUUUGUAAUUUUGAAGACUUUCUAACAAGUAACUUUAUAAGGUUUUUGUCAAAAUAAAAAUAGUUUCAAAACCCUUCCUCAUAACACUCUCAAAUUUGGCCAUAACGUCUAGACCGGGUUUGGGGUAUUACAUUUAGUUGUAUCAGAUCUAGGUUAUAAAAAUCGGGAUGUGAAUCUUAGGUUCUAAAAUUUCAUUUCAAAAAGAUUGGUUUCAAAUAAAAAUUUGUUUUAUCCUAAACGAAUAUGUGGUACACCGAGGCUCCAGCGUCGAUCUUGUAAAUAUUUUUGAACUUAGAUAAAACUUUCUGAAAACACUGUAGUUAUUACUUUAUGAAACUAUACUGAGUUAGUUAGAGACUAAAAUCUCUAAAAUACUUCUGAACUUUGGGUAAUUUAAGCAUAAAAUAGCUGCUAAUAAACUGGAAGUAAUGUCUAAAAUUUUAAAAUGUAGAUAAACAUUUCAAAUUUAGAUAAGCGCACGUGGAUUACACAGUCGAGUUAUGCGCGGGCACGGCUGGCGCCAUAGAGGGACCCGAGCUGAGUCUUCCUCUCUGGGCAAUAUGCCAAAUCUGGACACGAGUGAGACUCCGGUUAUACUUUCUACUGAGACUAGGUUUUAGAGUCGAUCGGCUGGGGUUGGUGCACAGUCCCAAGCCAUGUUGAGAGUGUUGGAGAGGGUCACUAGACCCUAUUUUAGAUCUAUAGGUCGUGGGUCAGUAACUAAACGAAUCCGAUCUAAUGGAGCUGAGUUGUUUAGGUGCGUCAUUGAGGUCGCCCCUAUUGCGGCCGAGUACUGGUUGGAAAAAUUAAAGGGUACAGUUUCUUUACUUCGCGAUGAGGCAUAUCAGUGGUGGUUAUCAGUUGAGGAGGGUACUCAACCAGAUCGUCUGAACUGGGAUUAUUUUAAGACUUUCUUCUAUGGAAAAUAUGUGGGUGCAAGCUAUGUUGAUGCUCGUAGGCGUGAGUUCAUGAUUCUGGGUUGAGUAUGAGGCCGAGUUUCUGAGACUAAGCCGCUACACUCGAGGCAUGGUGGCAUCCGAGUAUGAGAAAUGUGUCUAUUUUGAGGACGAUUUAAAUGAUAGCCUGAGGGUUCUGAUUGUUCUGCAGAGAAAGCGUGAGUUCGUUGUUCUGGUGGAUAAAGUGAAUAUCGCCGAAGAGGUUAAGCGCGUGGAGUGCCAGAAUAGAGGCAAUGAGAGAGGCAAGAAUAAGAGGGAUUCAAAGCCCUCUAGUUCUGUUCAAAGGCCUAAGAAACGGGCUAAACCUGAUGAGCUUGUUAAAGUAGGAGUUCUUGUUUAUCCUAUUGGGAUUCAGCCUUGUGGUGGCUGUGGUAGGCGCCAUUCGAACGAGUGUUGGAGGAGCUUAGGAGCUUGUCUACAAUGUGGGUCUUUGGAACAUUGGAUUAGAAAGUGUCCAAUCGUUUUGAUCAAAUGCAAGCUUCGAGACCGAGUUUUUUUCAGCCUUAAAAAGAAGUAUAGUUGCCACUUAGGGGCCGUGGACCGACUAGGGGUGGUAACAGUAUGGGCUGAUGACAAAGAGCACCGGGCAGAGUUGCUAAUCAGACUAAGGCGAGACAACCUGUACUAGUUUAUGCUACUCGACACUGAGAGAAUAAAGGCGCCCCUUAUGUGAUCACGGGAACGUUUUUAAUUUUUGAUGCUCCAUAUACAACAUUGAUAGACAUAGGUUCUACCUACUACUAUGUAGCUAGUACUAUUUUUGAAAACUUGGGGAUUUUUGUUGAGUGUACUUUUGGUGAGAUUACUCUACUGAGUCCGUUAGGGUAUUAUGUUCGGGUUAGUAAACUAUAUAGGAAUGUUUCAUUAGAGGUACAAGGGGCUGUGCUUCUGACAAAUUUGAUGGAGUUAUCGUUUAGGGAGCUCGACUUAAUUCUAGGUAUAGAUUGGUUAGUUGAACACUGAGUUAGUUUGGAUUGCACGAUUAAGAAGGUCAUUUUGAAAUCCGAGGAUGAGAAAGAGGUGGUUUUGAUUGGUGAGCGUGGAGAUUACCUGUCUAAUGUAAUCUCUGUUCUAGUGGUCAAGAAAUUGGUUCGGAAAGGGUGUGAGGCGUAUGUGGCCUACGUUAGUGUUUCAAUAUCUAAGGACUCUUUUAUCGAGGAUAUCAGAAUAGUGAGAGAAUUUUUGAAUGUUUUUCUCGAGGAGUUACUCGGGUUACCUCCGAAUCGAACAGUUGAGUUCGGCAUUGAGCUUCUACCAGGUACAGCUCUAGUGUCUAUUGCUCCAUACUGUAUGACACCGAAGGAGUUUAAAGAGCUUAUGGCUCAACUUCAAAAGCUCUUGGAUCGUGGUUUCAUCCGUCUUAGUGUGUACUUGUGGGGGGCACUGGUUCUAUUUGUAAAGAAAAAGGAUGGUACCAUGAGGAUUGUAUCGACUAUCAGCAGUUGAAUAAACUGACUGUGAAGAAUAAGUGCCCAUUUUCGAGACCUGUUUGAUCAGUUACAUGGGGCUUCAUUAUUUUCGAAAAUAGAUCUCCGUUCUAGGUAUCAUCUGCUUAGGGUUAAAGAAGCUGAUGUUCAUAAGACGACAUUUAGGACUUGUUUUGGGCACUACGAGUUCCUAGUUAUACCCUUUUGUUUGACGAAUGUUCCGGCUGCAUUCAUGGAUUUGAUUAACUGAGUUUGUCAACCGUAUCUAGAUCAGUUCAUCGUAGUCUUCAUCAACAAUAUUCUCAUAUACUCUAUGACUGAGGAUGAGCAUGAUGAGCAUCUUAAGGUAGUGCUUCAGAUACUCCGAGAGAGAUAGCUCUAUGAUAAGUUGAGCAAAUAUGAGUUCUAAUUGCGAGAGGUAACAUUUUUGGGGCACGUGGUUUCUUCUGAGGGGAUCUGAGUUAACCCUAGGAAGAUUGAGCUUGUAGUUGAUUGGAAACAACCUAUGAAUGUUUAUGAGAUCCGCAGUUUUCUAGGUCUUACAAGUUAUUAUUAGAGGUUUGUUGAGGGGUUCUCACUGAUUGCAACUCCUUUAACUAAGCUUCUACGCAAGAGUGUUCCCUUCGUCUGAACUGAUGUGCAACAAUCGAGCUUCGAGAAGCUCAAGUCUGUUCUAACUCAGGCUCUAAUUUUGACACAACCUGAAUCUGGUAAGGAGUUUGUUGUGUAUAAUGAUGCGUCACACAUCGGACUGGGGUGUGUAAUGAUGCAAGAUGGUUUUUGCGUUAAAGAUCUUGAGGCACUAUCUGUAUGGUGAGAGGUGUAUCAUCUACAUCGAUCACAAGAGCCUCAAGUAUCUCCUUAAACAAAAGGAGAUGAAUCUUAGGAAGUGUUGAUGGAUUGGGCUGUUCAAAGAUUAUAACUGUACGAUAGAGUAUCAUCCCAGUAAGGCCAAUGUCGUAGCCGGUGCUCUCAGUCAUAGAGCGAGAAUUGAUUUGAGAGCGAUGUUCACUCAUCUUAGUUUAUUCAAUUAUGAGGGUCUAUUAGCCGAGUUGCAAGUUAAGCCGACUUGGAUUUGGCAAAUUCGGGAACAACAGUUUGGGGAUGAGGCUCUAGGUCUACAAUUUCGUCAGGUUAAGAGUGGUAGUACUUCUGAUUUUAGACUAAAUAAGGAUGGAGUUUUGUGUUUUCGAGAACGGGUUUGUGUAUUGAACGAUUCUGAUCUGAGGUAGUCAAUUCUGAGGGAGGAGCAUAAUAGCCCUUAUGUUAUACAUCUCGUGGUAAUAAUAUGUAUCGGGAUCUCCGUGAAUUGUACUGGUGGUUGGGUUAGAAACGGGAGGUAACCAAUUUUGUUGGUCAUUGUUUGACAUGCCAACAAGUUAUGGCUGAGCAUCAGUUGCCUUCGGGUUUACUCUAACCUGUUAAGAUUCUCUUAUGGAAAUAGAAACAUGUGACGAUGGACUUCGUUAGUGUGUUGCCCUUAACACCCCCUAAGAAAGAUUUUGUGUGGGUUAUCGUGGAUCGAUUAACCAAGUCCGCCCAUUUUAUUCAUAUCCAGGCGGACUGUUCUCUGCAAAAGUUAUUGAAGCUCUACAUCUCCGAGAUUGUAAGGUUGCAUGGGGUACCUGUUUCGAUAAUCUCUGAUAGGGAUCAUCGCUUCACUUCUCAGUUCUGGAAGAAACUGCAUGAAGCCCUAGGUUCAAUAUUAGACCUUAGCACUGCGUUCCAUCCUCAAACCGAUUGUAACACCCCUAAACCAUAUCCGUUGCCAAAUUAGGGUUACGAGGUAUUACCGACCAAGACACAACUUUCAAACAUAUGCACACCUAUUAUAUUCGAAUUAAUAAAACAAAUGAAUGAUUACAUAUUAAACAUACAUUAUUAAUCGUAAAACAAAUAUAAUAUCUCAUGCAUAUAAUCAUAUUUACACCUUAAUAAUCAUGCCUCAAAGCCAUACAAAUUAUACUUCAAAAUAAAUGCACGAAUCAUGUGCUUAUCAUUAAAAUGGUAUUUAAAUACAUAAUAAAUUUUAAACAUUUUAUUUCUUAAUAAUAAACAUGCACUUAAUAUACCAAACAAAUCAUAUCACAAAGCUUAUGCCCAAUCUCAUAUGCGGCAUUAACAAAUGUACCAAUUGAUUUAAUUUACUUCAUUGAGUAAUAAAAUCCUUAUACGCAUCUCUCCACAUCUAAUUUGAAUCCUUCAAACACAAAUUAUGUGCACACAUUUUCAGUCAUACUAUCCUCAAUUUGACUAACCAAUUAACCUAUAAAAGCUGAACUCAAAUCAUGCACUACUCAUUUAACUAACAUUAGCCGAAUCUGCAUGUGCAUAAAUACUAAUUUUAAACUUAUUUUCAAUUCAACUAUACAUCAAUAUAUAAGACCAAAACAUGCUUAUCUUCUUAUUACAAGCUUAUACGCAUAUGCAUACACCAACUGAGCCAUUUCCGAACAUCUAUAGUAUACAUAUCACUUUACAAAUACUUUAUAAAUCUAUUACCCGAACCUAUUGGCUAAAUAUUUUAGUCUUUGCACUCCUAUAAUAAACAUCAAUCAUAUUUCAUUUUCAUAUGCAUAACCAAAUUGAAUAACUCUAUAUGUGAACAUCAACUUAAUACUCCAACAAUUCAUACCAUUUCUAACAUGAUCUGUACCUAAUGACUCACUCAUUCAAGCUUAUUAUAUAAACAUAAUCUUCCAUUUCCAAAUCUACUCAAAAUUAGCCAAUGCACAAUCAAUUAUAAAUUCGUCAUUUUACCCAUCUAAAGCCGAAUUAUAAACUAACCAUAAUUACAAAUCAAACCAUGCAACAAGCAUACUCGAUGAGCUAUUUACAAGACAUUCAUGACAUAUGCAAACAAAACAUAUAGCCAUAUUACUAUUCACACCCAUUCUGGACAUCCUUAUCCCAAUAUAAUUAAACUAUAAUUAAACAUAAACGAACUCAAACAUAAGGAUCAAGCCAUUUUCGCAUGGCUUUAAAUAUAUACAAUUUUAAACUCAAACAUAAUAAGACUAGCUUAUACCAAUUUAUUUACACUUCCAAAACCAACCAAAAUAAAUGCUAGCCUAUACAUGACAUAUGUUCAUAGUUCAAACUUUGUAAAAUAUCGAAUAGUGAUCGAUAGUGUGACGAAUUUUCUUGACGAUCCCCGAGCUCGUAACUAGCUUUCACAAUCUAUAAAACAAUAAAUGAAUACACACAUAGUAAGCUUGAAUAGCUUAGUAAGUCAUAAGCAAAUAAUAAUCAAAUGAACAUUAACACUAAAUCAACUAACUGAAUCAAUUCAAACCUUAACUAAAUGUACACAUAUCACACUCACAAAUUUAUAUAUCAUCAAAUAUACAUUAGCAUAUUAACAUCAUAUGAUAGAAUGCACAAAUACCGAUGAACAUAUAUAAUUCUCACUUUUAAUAUCACAUAUACAUCAUUUGGCCGAAUGUAUAUAUUCACAUAUGCAUACACAUAGUUUACAUUAAUAUAUAUAACAUUUAUAUCAUCAAUUUAAACAUCCAACUUACCAUAUUUGCAUAACUUUGUAUGAGUACAUACCUGUGCCUUUUAACUCGAUUUUUUACACUUGAUCUUAACUUAUUAUUGCCCAUUGAACCAUUCAGAAUUCAAAAGGAUACUCGGAUAGUCGAACAUUUCGUACAAUGCCAACGUCCCAGACGUGGUCUUAUAUGUAAUUACAUAUCGAUGCCACUGUCCUAGACAAGGUCUUACAUGUAAGUCACAAGUCGAUGCCAAUGUCCCAGACGUGGUCUUACACGAUAACACAUAACGGAAUCCUAUGUCAUAACAUAUGUAUCCUAACUAUUCCUAAGGUUCGUACGAGACUUUCAAACGUCAAAACUCGAUCAUUUCAAGCUCGUAAACAUUGUUCCCAUGCUUAAUUCAUUUCAGCAUAUUAUAUACACAAGUAAUAAUUCGAUUCGGCACAAUUAAAAAUCAAUACAAUAGAAUUUAUUGAUACUUAUGUACUUAUGAACUUACCUCGGAUAACGACGGAUGAAAUCGACUACUCGACUACUUUCAACUUCUCUAGAUCUAAUUCUGUUUUCUUUCGUUCUUGAUCUAAAUAAAUUCAAAUUUAACUAAUUUAAUCACACAUUCAUUCAAUUUAAUCCACAAACACAUAAUUAGGCCUUUUUACACAUUAUCCCUUAUAAUUUCACACAUUUACAUUUUAGUCCUUAUUUUACAAAACACAAAAUAUUCAAAAUUUAACCACACUAUAGCUUGGCUGAAUAUUCCUAUAAUUCAUCUAAGUCCACGAAUUUUUUUAUUUCACAUUUUAGUCCCUCAAAAUAUUAUUUUCACAAUUUAGCGUAAAAUAAUCAAACUCCUCAAAAAUUCAAAGACAAAACAUUUUAAUCUUUCACAUAUCUUUAAUAUUUCAUCAUCAAACAACAAAAACCACAAGCUAUCAUCAAUGGCAAAACACAAAAUAAUCAUCAAAUUCAAAAAUUAAAACAUGGGCUUUAUAGUACUCGAAGCAACGAUCACAAAAACUUAGAAAUUAUUAAAAAUUGAAACAAAAACAUACCUUGAUUGAGCUUAGCAAUGAUCGAAUGCUUCAAAACUCUUAAACCUUUUUUUAUUUUCUAAGUUUUGGUGGUGGAUGAACACAAAUGACAAUUAAUUUGUCUUUAUUUUAACUAAUUUAUCUUUUAUUUGACAAAUUACCACAUUAGCCUUUUUAUUUUCAUUUAAAAUCCACUAUCUUAAGGCAUUUUUGUCCAUCCUAUAUUCACAUGGUUAAAUAACAACAUAAGGACUCCAUAUAAUAAAAGUCAUAGCAACUAAAUACCUUUACAUAUAGCAUGCUAGUUUUGCAUUUUACGCGAUUAAAUCCUUUUAUCAAAUUAGCAUACAAACAGUAAAAUUAAAUCACGAAAUUUUCACACAUAUUAAUUCACAAAUUAUAAACACAAAAAAUAAUAUUUAAAUAUGACUCGAAUUUGUGGUCCCAAAACCACUGUUCCGAUUAGGGUCGAAACUGGACUGUUACACCGAUGGUCAAUCUGAAAGGGUGAUUCAGAUACUGGAAUAUAUGCUUCGGAGCUGUGUGAUUGAUUUCUGAGAUAGUUAGGAGGAUUUUUUGUCAUUAGCUUAGUUCGCCUACAACAAUAGUUUCUAGUCUAGCAUCUAGAUGGCACCUUACGAAGCUUUGUAUGGUUGUAAGGGUCAUAUUCCGCUAUGUUGGACUGAGUUGGGUGAGCGACGGGUAUUGGGUCCUAAGUUGGUUUUUGAGACUAAAAAUAAGGUUAGACUGAUUUGGGAUCGUCUGAAGGCAGCUUCUGAUACACAUAAGUCUUAUACAAAUAUGAAAAGGAGAGAUACCAAUUACUUUGUGGGAGACUUCGUAUUUUUUAAGGUAUCUCCGUGAAAGAAAGUUCUGCGGUUCAAUCGCAACGGCAAGUUGAGCCUUAGGUUCAUUAGGCCGUAUCGGAUUCUAAAGAGUGUGGGACCAUUUGCGUAUCAUUUGGAGCCUCCUCCGGAGGUAGACCGUAUCCAUGAUGUGUUUCACGUCUCGAUGUUGAGGUGAUAUCGGUCUGAUCCAUCUCACAUUGUCUCUGUUGAGGAGAUCGAGGUUAGAUCGGACUUGACAUUUGAAGAGGAGCCGAUUCAGACUCUGGAUUGAGAUAUUAAGGUUCUGAUAAGGAAGUUCAAACCAUUGGUGAAGAUUUUGUGGCGGAAUAAUAGCAUUGAGGAAGCCAAGUGGGAACCUGAGGACUUGAUGCGUCAGUAGUAUCCUCAUCUGUUCAGAUCAGGUAAAUUUCGAGGCCGAAUUACUUUUAAAGGGUUAGAGUUGCAACUCGCCAAUUAACUUAUUUUUUUGUUUCUGUAAAUCUUAACACAAGUGAGUAUUUACUUCAGUGGUUAAGUGAUUUGAGGGUGUGUUUGAGGUCUUGGGUUCAAAUCCCACUUUUGGCAAUGUUGUUAUUUUUUAUCCUAUUCUUAUCCCUACUGGGUAGGCUUAUAUAAUAUUCUUUGUAAACUCAUAUUAGAAUGAGCUUGUUAGUUCGAGUGGUAAGGAGUUAUGUAAUACCCCGAAAAUUACUACAGAAAGAAACUAAAAUAGUAUCCUUGAUAUAGUAAAAUAAAGAAAUAAAGUAACAAUAAGGGAAAUUUUGAGUUAUGUCAACAUUUGGAAAUAUAUUAUGAUAUAUUAAUUCAAGAAAGGACUAAAUUGUAAAAGUGAGAAAAGUUUUGUUGCUCAAGAGUAAAUACUCAAAAUUUAAGGGGUUAAAAUGUAAAUAUGAAAAAGUUGAAGGACUAAUAGUGCAAAUAUUUUAAGGGUGGAAUGAUCUAGAAAUUAAGGAAAAUGGAUGAAUUAAUACCAAAUUGAAUAGGUGAAGAAUUAAGAGGGAUCAAAUAACAAUUUUCCCAAAUUAAGUGAUGACUCAAUGAUGGAAUUUUAAAAGAUCAUAAAGGGCAAAAUGGUCAAUUAGAAGAGAGAGAAAUCUAGAAGAUAAUGAUGAUGUUAGAGAUAUUUUAGAUUAAUUAAAUAAAUAUUAGUUUAUUAAUAUUUUAAUUUAAUUUUUAAAUGAUAUUUUAUUAUUUUUAUCAUUAUUAUAAAUUAAAGAAAGACAAGUGUAUGGUGAUAAUAGUAUACAAAUCUAAUAAUAUAUAUGUAUACAUUUGUAAUACAAAUAUUUAUUUAAGUAAUAGAUAUUUGCUAAAAAAUGAAUUAUAAUGUAUAAUUAUAAAUAGGUAAAUUAAGAUAAAGGAAAUGAAAAAAGAAAAAAACAAAACAAAAAGAAACAGAGAGCAAACGAAAAUAGGAAGGAAAGAAAAAAGAAAGAAGGAUAAAGGGAACAUUAGAGAUUUCAAUCUUGAAAUUUAAUUGGUAAGUUAAAUUAAGUCAUUUUCUUGUAAUUUUUGAGGUUUUUGAAAUCUUAGAGAUAAAUACUACUUGAUUUAUGUUGAAAUUUUGAAAGCUAGUAGAUUAUUAGAUGUAUGAUUUCAAUAUAAUUUUUUUAAAGUUUGAUAUUAUUGAAAAAGCGUGAAAAUGAUGUUAUAGUAGAGUUUUCUUAUAUAAGGUUUUAUGUUCUUGAUAUAUUAGUGAAGAGAAAUAAGAGAAAGUGAUGGGAAAUAUUAUAGAAAAAGGGAAUAAGGGAGUUAUAAACUUUGAAAAAUCACCUUAAAUUGUGAAAAUCGAAUUAGAUGAUGAAAAAAAUAUGAAAUUAAAGCUUAUUGAGUCUAGUUUCUCAUAGAAGAAAUAAUGUAAGCUAUGGAAUUGUAAAAUUAUGAGAUAUAAUAAAUUUGGUGAGACAAGGUCAGAAUGAUCUCGUUUUCCCCUGUUCUGACUUUGGAAAAUCAUUAUAAAUUGUAUAAAAAUAUUUGGGGGUUUAAAUUAGUAUGCUUAAGUUAUUAAUGAGUCUAUUUUCAAGAGAAAUAAACGGGAACAUCAUCCGAAUUUUGUACUAAGAGAUAAAUAAUUUUUAGUAAGGCAAUGUCGAAGUUGUCGAAUAGCAGAACGAGGAUAAAUUUGAAGAUUUUACUGUACUUAUUGGCUAAAUUAUAAAUUCUAAAUUUUUUAUGGUAGAAAGAUAUUUGAGUCUAGUUUCUAAAACAUUAACCAGAUAUAAUAUAUAUAUCUUAAGUGACUAUGACUCAAGUGAACAGCUUGUUAUGAGUAUACAAGUAAAUAGUGGUAUUAUGUAUAUAUCUUUAGGAUGUGGAAUGGAGUGGAGGAGGAGGAAAAUAUAUGUGAUUAUUCAGCUAGUAUGAGUUUAUUUUAAAAAUAGCUACUUUACAUGUUUUAGGCUCAGGGACUGAAUUGAAUAAAAAUAAAACUUUAGGGGAAAUUUUGUAAAAUAUCAAAAACUACCAAAUUGCAUGAAAUGAAUUGUUUUAUUAUUUAAAUUGAUAAAUUGAAUUAAAUAUUAAUUUAGAUCAAGACUGGGUGGAAAAUCGAGGGAAAUAAAAAAUUACCAAAAUGCUCAUGUAUCUUGGUAUUCUUGCAAUUUAGCCUGGUAAGUUCGUGUAACCUGAAUUAUAUUCUUAAAUGCUUGAAAUGUAUGUUAUUGAUGUGAAUAUGGUUUAAAUGUUCAUUGUAUGAAAAUUGAUAAGACAUUGAUAUAUUUGAUAAAAAGGGGAAGAAAUCUCAGUUGAAUGAAAGGAAAAUUCGAUGGAUCUUUAAAAAGGAAUUGACAGUAAAAAGGAUCUAGCCCAGACGGGUGAUCCUAUCCUGAUAUAGCCCUCCCGAAGAAUAUGAGUAAAAUUGAUUUAGCCCGGACAGGUAAUCCGAAUUAGGGUCUGAAUUUAACCUGGACUGAUAAUUCAGAUCCAAGCUCAUUAGAGUAAAUUAUCAUUGCAGGGGAUUUAGCCUGGACCGGUAAUCCCGACAAUACUCUAUGAGUUUAUAUUACAGAAGAUUUAGCCUGGACUGAAAAUCCCGCUGUAAGGAUGAGGUUCACGGGAGUGCUCUCUGAAAUGGAAAUGUGUUCGCAUGAAUAUGAAUUGACGGUCCCAAAAAUGGUUGCUAAUAGUGUACCUUUGAAAAUCUAUCGAAAUUCUAAAAAAAUUCAACAAGAUAAAUAUGAGAAAUAAUAAGGAUAAUAGAAAACAUGGAAUUGAAUUAUUAUUGGAAAUAUAUUAUCGAAUUUAAUACUCAGUUUGGAUUGAACGCGAAAUUGAGUACAAUCCUUCUGUGCCAAAGGAUGAAUAGAUGGAUAAGACCAUAACUGGGUUAUGGCACUAUGAACGUAAGACCAUGGUUGGACCAUGGUAGUGUUUAUAUGUAAGACCAUAGUUGGGCUAUGGCAUUCUGAUGAUAAGACCAUAACUGGGUUAUGACACUACGAAUGUAAAGGAUGAGUUGACGACAAAUUACCCAAGUAAAUCGAGGUUCAGUAUUUGUUGCGGACUUUCGUGUUUACUAUCUGUUUAGCUCUCAUGAGCUUCUGUUCAGCCUUUGGGCUUCUGAAAACGAUGUACUCAUAUCCAUAAGUCGUUCUUCGAAAGGUAAAAUAUCAAGAGCUGUCUUGAAUGAUAUAUAUGAAUAUGAAGAAAUUGUAAGAGAAUGAUAUGUAUUAUGAUAUGUAUUUAAAUCAAUAUCUUGAUAUGUUGAUAUAUGGAAAUUAUGUAAGUGGAGAAGAGUAAAUAACUCAAGUGUGACAUGUCAAGAAAAUAAGUUUAUCAAAUAUGAAAUUAUAUGUAAUAUGUGCAAGUAUGCUAACUACUGUUGUUGUUUGAUGCUUAGGCAAGUGUCAAGCUAUUGGUUGAAUUGAUAAGUAUUUAAGUGAAAAUAUGCUAGUGCUCAUGAAAAAGUGGUAAGGUUUAAAUUAAGCAAUUUCUUAUGAAAUGACUUAUAAUGUGAUCAGUUCAGGAAAGGCUUUGGUUAAAUGCACUAGCUUGUGACCAUGGUUGAAUGAUAUGUUUAUGACUUGUGUGACAUGCAUAUGGAAUAAGCGUGGAAAGUAAAGAAAUGCAAAUGAAAAUUGUAACACCCCUUACCCAUAUUCGACACUGGAAUAGGGUACGAGGCAUUACCGGAGUUUACUAAUUAAUUUUCAGACAUUUCAUUUUUAUCUAACGUUCAUAUUUAUAACCAAUCAAAAUCAAAACAUUAAUGAGCUAACGUUAACCAAAUUAACUUAUACACGCCAUAAUAACCAGAAUUAAGUCAUCCAAAAUUACCGAUAGAACCAAUGGAUAAUGUGAUAUAUCUCCCACAAGCUUCCGAUAAUCAUUUCAAAACAUCUAAUAACCAUAAAAAUUCUAUAAAUUGUUAAACUUUCAAAUUAUUAACAUGCUUUUAUAAUUCUUCACAAUAUAAAUAAUGUAACAUUUCCUACCAACCACAAUCAAGCUUCCGAUAAUCAUCUCACUACAUCUAAUAAUUGUACAUAUUACCAAUAAUAAUUCAAUUUCAAUAUAAAACACAUAUCCAUAUAAUAUUCAUCAUAAAAUAACAUUCACUUUAAUUAAAAUUAUACAGAAUAUAGUUCAUACGAACUUACCAGGCUGAUAUGCAGAAAUACCAAGAUACAACGACAUUUUAUUAAUUUUCCAUUUUUCUCAAUUUUAUACCCGAUCUUGAUCUAAAUUAAUUUUUCAUUUAAUAAAACAACUCAUUUCAUGCAAUUUGGUCAUUUUUGACAUUUUUCCAAAAUUACCCCUAAAGUUUUACUUUUAUUCAAUUUAGUCCCAGAGCCCAAAUCAUGCAAAUUAACCAUUUAUAAUGCAAACCCAUGCUAGCAGAAUAUCCAUAUAUUUAUUUUCCUCCUCCUCCUCUCCAUUCCACAUCCUUAAUAUAUAUAACAUGCUUAUAUGUAACAUUAUCUAUAAUUUCACAUUUAUUUGUAUUCAUUCAAAGCUGUCCACUUGAGUCAUAGUCACUAAAUUAUUUAUAUCUUGAGCUAAAGAACUCAAAAUUGAGAUCCGUUAAUUUUCUAUAAAACUAGACUCACAUAUAUUCUUACCAUAAAAUUUUAAGAAUUUUUAGUUUAGCCAAUAAGUACAGUUUAUUCUUUACAGUCAUCCCUGUUCUGCUGUCUGACAGUUUCGACCCUUCUUCACUAAAAAUUAAUUAUCUCAUCGUACGGGAUUCGGAUGAUGUUACCGUUUAUUUAUGUUAAAAAUAUACUCAGUAAGGAUUUAAACAUAUAAAUUUAAGCCACUAAUUAUUUUUCUCCAAUUUUUGAUGAUUUUCAAAAAUCAGUACAGGGGAACCCGAAAUCAUUCUGACCUUAUCUCACAAAACCUAUUAUAUCUCAUAAUUUACAAUUCCAUUGCUUACACCGUUUCUUUUAUAAGAAACUAGACUCAAUAAGAUUUAAUUUCAUAUUUUUUUCAUCCUCUAAUUCAAUUUAUAUGAUUUUUGGUAGAUUUUCAAAGUCAGACUACUGCUGCUGUUUCAAAACUAUUUUAGUGUAAAAUGUUGAUAACUAAAUUUAUAACACUUUCCUUUCCUUUCUCUUCAAUAUAUUCCAUCACUUUCUCUUAUUUCCCUUUACUAACAUAACAAGAAUAUAGAACCUUAUAUAAUGAAACUUUACCUUAACAUUAAUUUCCUACUUUUUCAAUAAUAUCAAACUCAAAAGUAUAUAAAAAUCUUGAUGUUCUUACCUUAUGCCAUUGAUUUCAAUCUUUAACUUGAUUUUCUCCCUCCUCCAGCUUCUAUUUCUUGAAUCUAACUUGAUAUUCUAGCUCCCCAUAGUCUCCUUGCCAUCUUUCUCUCUUGAUGGAUAUGGAAAUUCUUUUGAUUUCUAAGUGAAAAUGGUGGAUUUUUGGUGAAAGGACCAAAUUGUAAAGAAAGCAAAGCUUUCUUUCUUCCCCUCUUCUUCUCACGUUAAUGCAUGCAAAAAUGGUGGGAAUGGAUGGAUAUUUUUCAUCCUUCUUUCCACAUAUAUAUAUACUAAAUAAAUUAAUAAUAAUAAAAUAAUAUCAUUAAAAAAAUCAAAUUAAAAUAUUAAUAAACUAAUAUUUAUUUAUUUAUUAAUCUAAAAUAUCUCCAACAUCAUCAUUAUCUUCUAGAUUUCUCUCCCUUCUAAUUGACCAUUUUGCCCUUUAUGAUCUUUUAAAAUUCCAUCCUUGAGUCAUCACUUAAUUUGGUAAAAUUGUGAUUUAGUCCCUCAAACUUCUUCACUUUUUCAAUUUGGUCCUAAUCCAUCCAUUUUUCUUAGUUUCUAGAUUAUUCCUCCCUUAAAAUAUUUACACUAUUGGUCCUUUAAAUUUUUUAUAUUUACACUUUAACCCCUCAAGUUUUGAGUAUUUACUCUUGGGCAACAAAACUUUUCUCACUUUUGCAAUUUAAUCCUUUCUUGGAUUAAUAUGUCAUAAAUAUACUUUCCAAUGUUGACAUAACUCAAUUACCCUUUUUAUCACUAUAUUCUCUUAUUUUACCAUAUCAAUAUUUUCAUGCAACAUUCCUAUCAUAAUGCAACCCAUGUCAUAAUUUUAAAAUAAAUUUUUUUCCUUAUCGAAUUUGUGGUCCCGAAACCACUGUUCCAUCUAACCCCAAAAUCGGGCUGUUACAAAAAUAAAAAAAAUUAUGAAGAGUUAAAGUUAUAUAAAAUCCUACUAAGCUUGGGAUAAUAUGUUUAAGUGAUACUAUGGAUUUGUUCACUUUGUGAGUUGAAGACUAUAGCUUCAUGAGUAUUAUGGUAUCAAUGUUGGGUUAUCCUUGAUAUGUAUAGAUUUCAUAUUUUAAAAGAACUAAUAUGAUUAAAGACUACACGAGCUUACUAACCAUUUAUUGCUUACGUAUUUGUUUUUAUUUACCUUACAGAUUAUCGGAAGCUCGAUUGGAUUAGAAGCUUGUCGGAGAUAUAUCACACUAUCUAUUGGUUCUAUCGGUAAUUUUGAAUGAUUUGAUUCUAGUUAUAAUGGCAUGUAUACGUUAAUUUGGCCAACAUUGGCUCAUUAAUGUUUUAAUUUUGAUUUUGUUUCAAAUAUGAAUGCUAGAUGAAAUGAAAUGUCAUAAUAAAUUUGUAAACUCCGGUAAUGCUCCGUAACCUUGUUCCGGCGACAGAUUUGGGUUAAGAGUGUUACAAGUUAGCUUGCUGAAGGUUCUGUGUUUGAAUCCCUACGUGAGCGAAGGUGAUAAUUUUUGUUUCGGUUGGCUGAGAGAGUUUGCAUGGACUUGAAAUUCUGAGUUGGUUGGGUUGUUUGUAGAUGUAGUGGAUUAUGUUCAAAUUAAUCAAUUUUAUUUUUAUCUUAUUUUUAUUUUAUUUUUCUCUCUCUUUUCCCAAAUACUUUUUGACGUUUUUUCUCCAAACUCCUCUUCUAAAAUUUUUCUUUUUAUUUCUUCUUUCUUUGAUUUCUAUUCGCUAUACUAUCAUUCAAUCACUGUGUUUUGGGUUCCGUAAUCCCUGCUCGGACUGUGGUAGGUAAUUCUUAAAGUUUUGUGCAAUUGGAAAUCGUUUUCGGGUGUGUUAUUGUGGUGAAUUCUUGUGUAGGUGUUAGUCAAGGGGAUCGAAAUUCAUCUUCUAUCGUGUACUGUGCUUGGGCUAUCGUAACUAUUUUGGUAAGUGACCGAGCCUUUUGAUUGAGUAAAAUUUUCAAGUAUGUCGAGUGGGGUUUUGAUAGAUUGGUGUUUAGAUACUUGGAAUUGAUUGAUUGAAUCGUGUUCUUUAGGUUUGAAGGGCUCGGGAUAGCUUACGCGUCAAAAUCAAACGAGGUGUGUACUCCUCACGCGAGGAAACGAGGUUCGACAAAAGUCAAAAACUGAGUCUAUCGAUGACACACGGGCUUGUGACCGACUCUGUGGCUGGUCGUGUGAGAGACACGGCCGUGUGACUGUCGUAAGUGUGACCGUUUGUGAGACACGAUCAUGUGACUGUCAUAGGUAUGGCCGUGCGCGAGACACGACCGUGUGACGGCAAAUAUGUGGCUGUGCUGGCCACACGGGCUAGGCUGGAUUAUGCGUUUGGGCCUACACAAGUGUGUGGGUUUUGGGCCAGGUUGUGAGGGCCACACGAGCAAGGUCAAUUUGGGUGUGUGGGAGACACGGGAAUGUGGGCCUAAAAUUCUAAAAUUUUUCCCUAGGGUAGCACGGGUCGUUCUGAUCGAUUGUGGACCUACCGUAGGGUCGAUAAGGGUUAACCAAACCUUAUUUGAUUUGAUUUGAUAUUCUGAUAACCUAAUCUAAGUAUGAUACUGAUAUGUAUGUCUGACUUUACUACUUAAGUAUGUAUUUAUCUGUAUACAAGCAUGUUAAGGAUGCUUAUUCUAAUACUUUUGCAUCUGUAUUCUGUAUCUGUGUUUGGGGUAAGAUUGUCAUAUGUGGAGAAAGUGAUCUGUAUGACUACUUUUCACCUAUACUUUGGAAACUUAACUGCAUAUUAUCUUAUAAGUGUUGCAUCGACACCAUCUGGUGUGUAGGGAUGGAUGGGUGUUUUUAACCCCACAUAGUGUGAUGGGAUGGACGGAGAUGGUGUGUAGUGGAUUGGGUAGGAUUUUGUCUGUCUGAUAUGUUUACCUGAUAUCUAUUUUUGUUAAUGACUUCGGCCCAAAUCUGUAUUUGAUUACAUAUGAAAUUCGGUGUGUGUGUGCAUGACUAUCACUGUUGGGUUACGCACUGAGUUUACAAAAACUCAUAUAUGUUUGUCGUGAGAUUGCACGGUGUUCCUAUGUCGAUAAUCUCUGAUUGAGAUCCGCGGUUCACUAUGAGAUUUUGGAAACAGUUGCACGAAUCCCUUGGUACACGACUUAAUUUUAGCACAGCUUUUCACCCGCAAACUGAUGGACAAUCUAAGCGUGUUAUUCAGGUUUUGGAAGACAUGAUUCGUACUUGUGUUAUUGAUUUUGAAUUGGGAUUGGAGCGUUACUUACCUUUGGCCAAAUUUGUAUAUAAUAAUAGCUUUCAAUCAAGUAUUCAAAUGGCUCCAUGUGAAGCCUUAUACGAUCGUAGGUGUCGAACACCUAUUUGUUGGAUGGAAUUGAGUAAAAGAAGAAUGAUCGAGCGGAACUUAAUUCAAGAACCGGAUGAUAUGUUAUGAAAAUUCAAGAUAUAUUGAAGACAGCUUUCGAUAAAUGAAAAUCAUACUCAGGUUUGAAAUUUUGAGAUAUUGAAUAUUCUGUUGACGGUAAAGUAUUUCUUAAAGUUUCGCCUUGGAAGAAAAUUUUGAGGUUUGGUUGAAAAGAAAAGUUGAGUCCUCGUUUUAUUGAACCGUAUGAGAUAAUAGAAAGAGUGGGACGAGUUGCGUAUCGUUUAGCUCUGCCUGCAGAACUACAAAAAUUCAUGACUUUAAUUUUUCACGUUUCAAUGCUUAGAAGAUAUCGAUCAGAUCCAUCUCACAUUAUUUCGAUGAAAGAUAUUGAGAUUCAACAUGAUUUUGGCGCAUGAGGUGAAAGAGUUACGUAAUAAGUGAGUUCCGUUAGUGAAAGUGCUAUGGCGUAGUCAUAGUGUUGAGAAAGACACUUGGGAACCAGAAGAGACAAUGAGAUCUCAGUACCCCCACCUCUUUUGAAGUAAAUUUCGAGGAUGAAAUUUAAUUAGGGGGAGAAUUGUAACGAUCUGAUAGUCAGGGAUGUCAAAAAUUGCAUUCCCAAGGCUCUGUCCCUGUAAAUCAGACUCGUAAAUAUUAAUAAAUAUUUACGAAGCUAGUUGUGUAGUUAAUUAGGUUUCGAUUAAGUGAAUUUACAUGAGUUAGAAGUAAUUAGGUAUAAGGACUAAAUUGCAUAUAGGGUGAAAGUUGAAUUAUAGAUUAAAGAAUAAUUAAAGAGACUAAAUAAGUAAUUUUACCAUUGUUCUUUAAGUGGGACGGUUAGUGAUAUAUAUUAUAUGUAAAUUUAUUUUAUAUAUUAUAUUAUAAUAUGAAAUCUUAAUUGUUAAGUAUAUAUAUUAUAUAAUUAGAAUGAAACAAAUAAGUAAAAGAAAAAGUAAUAAAAGACUUAAAAAUUAGAAAGAAAGAAAGAGAGAAGGAAGAAACGCAUAGCCAAGGGCUCUAAAUUUUCAAAGUUUAAUUGGUUAGUCAAUUUAGUCCCUUUUUCUUGUAAUUUGUAUGUUUUUGGAAUCCCGAUACCUAAGGUUAACUGACCCAUGUUGAAAUUUUAACAUUGAUUGAGUUUUUAAAGUUUGUUAAUGUUGAUAAAUUUUAGUAUUAGGGGUUAAAUUGAUAGAUUCUUAAGCUAAAAAUGAAAAAGGAUUAAAUUGUAGAAUAAAUUAUAAAUUUUGAAUAAUAGGGACUAAAUUGUGAAAAAUUCAAAAUUUAAGGGUUUAAGUGAAAAUAGAGAGUUAAAUUUAGUUUAAAGUGGAAUUUGUAUGAAAAUAUAGAAUUAAAUGUGAAGAAUAAAAAUCAGUCUCGAUUUAGGGACUAAAUUGAAAUUUAGGCAAAUAUUGAGUAAAAAUUUAAAUAUUCAAUAUGAAAUUGAAUUGUGUUGCAUUAAUGAAUUUUAAUUGUUUUAAUUUCGUAGCUAACGUUGUAUCGAAAUCCUCGACUAAAAAGGGGAAAGAUAAAAUGACAUGGAAUAGCUCGGAAUUCACGGUUUGUAUUUCUAUAAUCCGAACCUAGUUACUAAUUGUUGUAUUUUGAUUUAAUGCAUAUGGUAAGUGGUUGAGGUGAGUAUUUGGCGCUUUAAUAUUGAAUUGAAUUAAAGUUGAUUGAAAUGGAUUGAAUUGGUAUAUAUAUUAUGAAUGUAUGGAUUAUUUGAAUUGGAAUGAAUAUUCAUGUGUAUAUGUGAUUAUAUGAAAUUUUUAUAUUGGAUAUUGGUUGUUUUUGAAAUGUGAAAUUAAACCCUAUUAAUUGUAUCAGGCUGAGUCAAAUAUAGAUGGCAUGACAUAGGAUGGGAAGAGUCUAGGGAAUUCUUCAACUUCGAGUUGAUGAGGCACUAGAUGCCAAUUUACUUCGAUUUAACCGAUGAGACACUGGGUGUCAAAUUUAUAUAGCGCUGGGCGCAUAUUACUUUAGAUUAUCCGAUGAGGCACUGGGUGCCAAAUUGGUGUGUUGGUUGGAUCCGUGUAUCCGUCUAAAUUUGAGUCGUGUUAAUAGGGGUAAUUAAAUAAUACGGUACUAUGAUUGAUAUUGGAUGAUAUUGUAUGUGAAUUGAAAAUGGGAUAGUGAUUUGAAACAUGAAAAUGAGAUACAUGAGUUAUGUACUCAUGAAUUGGAUAUGGAAUGGAUAAAGUUAUUGUUUAAAUGAUAUGUGGAUCAAAUUGUGAAAAGCUAUUAUAUAGCAAGUGAUGAGAAUUGAGUAUGGUAUGAAAUGAUGUAUUCAUGAGUUGAGUAUUGAAUGGCUAAUGCCAUUGUGAUGAGAAUUGAGUAUGGUAUGAAAUGAUGUAUUCAUGAGUUGAGUAUUGAAUGGCUAAUGCCAUUGUACAAACAAAUGUGGUUUGAUAUGUGAAUAACUAUUUAUAUAACAAUUGUGUGAAUUGAGACAUUGUUUAACAAAUGAAAUAUGAUAGUAUAUGAUAGUCAUGAUACUAGACAUUAAUAUGUGCUUAUAAUUUAAUUGUGGAUAUGAUAUUAUCUUGUCUUUAAUAUUCGGAUUAUAGAAAUACCACUGAGUUUUACUCAGCGUACGGUUUUAUUUUUCAUGCGCAAGUUAGGUACUUAACUUUUGAUCGCCGAUUCAACAUCCAACAACGAUCCCGAACUCAAAUGUUCUAAUGUUUAUCUUUUGUGUCAGCAUAUACGUAGGAUGUCUAAAUGAUAAUUAUUUUGUGAAUGGAUUGUAAAUAAGGUUGUAAGUGUAAUGUUGGUUUGGUAUAUACAUAUAAACAUGUGUUUGUGUUUGAAGCCAUAUUAUGGCAUGGUAAAUUGAACCAAAUCUAAAUAGAUGCAUGUGAAUUUAAGUUGAUGUUUAAGUACUCAUGAACUAGGCAAAAUGGAUUGAAUUUGGUAUGUUUAUAAUUUGGAUUUGAGUGAUGCUUUGAUGAUAUGAAUUGAGGAUAUAAAUGUGGUACCAAUGAAGGUACAUUGGUUAGGCAUCUAUGAUGAUUGUUUUGACAUGUUUUGGCAGUAUCUGAUCAUUUUUUGAACUAGUUAAACGGAUGUUUUUUGAAUUGUUUAAUGUCCAAGCUUGCAGGGAAUGGUAAAUUAUUGUUUAAGGCACCUUUGAGGUCCACACGGCUAGACAUACGGGCGUGUGACUUGGCCGUGUGAGACACACAGCUAGCACACGAGCAUGUGAGGCCAUUUCAAAGGGUACACGACCUGGCACACGGGCGUACAAGUCAGAGAGUUACACAGGCACAAACACAGGCUAGGACACGACCAUGUGUCCCUGAUUCGAAUGCCCACACUGUUAGACACAUGGGCGUGUGACUUGGCCGUGUGAACCUUGUAGCUAAAAUUUUUUCCAACUUUUUCUAAAAAUUUUCAAAUGUUCCCGAUUUAGUCUAAAAUCGUUUCUAAACUGUUUUCAAACCCUCAAAGACUUAAUAUGGGAUUCUAUGCAUGUUAAUGAUGAAUUAUUUUAUGAUUUUUGAAAUGUCUGAAAUGAAUGAUAGAUUACGAUUCGGUAAUGUCCUGAAAUCCUAUCCUGACGACGGAUACGGGUUGGGAGUGCUAUAGUUCAAACCCCAUAAAAUAAUCAUUAAUGGGAGUAAUAAAGUGUGUAAAUCCGACAAUAUGUAUAUUUUACUCUCUCUUUUUAAAAUUAAAAAGAUUAAAGUACCAUAAAAAAAUAUAACUUAUUUUAUAUACAAAAAAUCAUUUUUAUAAUUUCCUAAUGAAUUAAUACCUGAUUAACUAAUAACAUUAACCUGCUGCUUUUUCUUAUUUCUUUGUAUUUCUAUAAUAAUAAUAACAAUAAUAAAGUUAACAAGUCACAUCUUAUGUUAAAUAUUAUAAAAUCAUUUUAUCCAAAUAAAAAUGGGUUAACAACUUAACAUCUUUUGUGCCUGGGCUCUUUCUUAAUAUAUACUUUUUGUUUAUUUAUUCUAUAUCUUAAACUCCUGAUUUAAUUUAUACUACGUGUUAAUUGGACAUUAAUUUGGGUAAAAAAAUUUAUAAAAAUAUUAUUUUUCUAUUACGAAAAGAGUAUUUUUGAGGUCUUUAUACUCAUUAUGCCUAGCAUUGAAUAUACCGGGUAUUCACCCUAUUAAAAUUUCAAAUCAAUGAUGGAGUUGAUUCGGAUCUUGCCUAAACGGCACCCAAAUCGAACCGAACCAUUUAUCAAGCUAUUUUUCCUUCAAAGUUAUAGAGUAAGACAUCAAUUUCUUAAAAAGAUCAAUUCUUUUGAUUGCAUGAUAGACUUCCCUGAAAAACAUUGGCGCACGUGUAAACGAGAUGCUCUACCAACUCAGCUAUAACCCUUGUGUUUGUGAUACAUAUUUUAUCAUAUUAUGUAGAUAAUUUAUUGUCAAGAUGAAUAUUACAUGAUCCAACAUCAUAAUCAUACCCUUUUGGUCGGUUUGAUUGGUAUAAAACAAGUUAUAUUAUUUAAAGGUACUUUAGUCUUCUUAAUUAAAAAAACAAUAAAAAAAUAUUGUUAUGAUUGCAUCAGUAAAACCUUUAAAUUAUCACUCAAUCACAACUUUAUUUUAUUUUUUAUACAUUUUAAUUUUAUUAUGCAAACUUUAUUACCUCUAUCAAUUAUAUAUUUAUACUAUUAUUUAAACUCACCUCUAUAUUUUAAAUACGUGAUUUCUGCAUGCAUACAUGUAUGAUAAAAUUUUAAUAUAUAUAAAGUAACUUUUAACUUAAAUUGAAAAAGAAAUCAUUGCUAGUUUUGACAAUUUUAAUAAAAAUGAAAGCUUUAAAUUUUUAAUAUUUAAAUUUCAUUUGUGUGUUUUCGGUCUCACUUUCUGGUUUCUCUCCCGUUUAUCUGACAUGUAUAUUUUAUUAUACUGUUUUUUAAGUCUCCAUUGUAUAAAAAAAUAAAAUUACUUUUACCAAUUUUUUAAGGUCAAUGUAUUAUUAUUGGUAAUUAAUCUUAUGUUUGUAAAAAUGAAUAAGGUCAAUAUAUUAUUAUUCCCACAUAUAUUUGUAUUUUUAAUAAAAUUUUGAAUUUUUUUUAAAUCACUAACAAUAAAUAACAAUAUAUGAUAAUUUUUAUCUUAUUUAUUUAAUUUUAUACAUGAAAUUUUUAAUCAAUUCGGAUGUGACCUCGUUAAAUCUCAAUAAGACUAGUUUCCAAUUAUGAUUUGAGAAAACUAUAAUCCUUUUAACUAAGAAUUAUAUUUAUAAAGAAAAGCAACCCAUUUUUGUAUUUCUCCUAAAUUAGGAAUAUACAUAAAACCAAACUAUCCGAAAAAAAAAAGAAAAAGAAAAAGAAAAAAGCUAAACCCCCCAAUAUAGUAAACUACAUAUAACCAAGGGGAAAAUUGUACCACUAAAAUGUAGGUCCAAAACAUCAUUGAGCUACUAAUUGGACACACCUUUGGUCCUUAAGCAAUUCAACAACCUUUCUCAUUGAAGGUCUAUUAAUAGGAAAUGCUGAUGUACACUUAAGUGCCACAUUCAAAACCCUUUCAAUUUCCUUCAUUUCAUAUGUUGAUGGCUUCAUCCUUGGAUCAACAAUCUCAGCUACUUUUUUGCCGAAAUACCCUCCGCUGUCGUUGCCGCCUUGGGCAGAUGCCGAUGGUGGCAGUGAUGAUAGAACAACCUCGGUGACCCACUUCACUAAAUCCUUGUUCUCGCCGAAUGAAGAGUCGUUAGGACGUUUGCCGGUGAUUAGUUCUAGCAAGACAACUCCGAAACUAUAUACGUCACUCUUUUCCGUCACCUUUAGUGUGUAACCAUAUUCUGCAAAGGGAUAGUAAACACGGUUAAGAUAACGGUCCAUCAUAGAACGCGGAACCGUUAUCAUUAUUAGUUGUUGUUGAUAAAGUGAUGAAAUGGAUUCUUUUUACUGUUACUUGAUCAUAUUAUUAACGACUACGUGGAAUUCUAGACAAUAAUUUUUAACUAAUAAUAAAUGUUCUAACCUGGGGCAAUAUAUCCAUGGGUUCCGGCAAUGCGAGACAUAGCUCCGCCGUUAGAACCGUCGUCCCCGGCUUCAAUUUGCAACGUUUUAGCCAACCCAAAAUCCGCCACGCGUGGCCGCAUCUCCUCAUCUAGCAAUAUGUUGUUACUCUUCACAUCACGGUGAACUAUAGGAGGCAGACAAUCAUGGUGCAAAUAAGCCAGCCCCUGAGCGGCGCCGACCGCAAUCGCGAACCGCUUCGGCCAAUCUGCUAAACCACCCCACUUGUCGCCAUGUAACACAUCGCCUAAGCUACCGUUUUCCAUGCACUCGUAAACUAAAACCCUGAACUCAUCCCCACUACAACACAUCAAUAGUUUCACGAUGUUGCCGUGUCGGAUCCGACCUAACGUCUCGGUUUCAGACCUGAAAACCUCUUCUGCCUCACGUUUAACACCCCAUAGCCUCUUAACCGCCACGGUUUGACCUGUUUUGAGUUUCACUUUAUAAACCCGACCCGACCCGCCUGUUCCAAUGAUACAAUCGUCUUUCAUGAACGGGAAUAUCUCAUCUUCGUUGAACUCAACCCGUUGAAACAAGGUGACUUUGUACGGCCGUCGGGUUUUGCUACCAAAUUUGGAUCGCGUUCUGAAAAACCAAAUGACCGACCCGAUAAGUAGUAUAAGGCAGACUGUUAAAAUACCCACAACGUAGAAGGUACCAGGUUUGAUUCUUGGGCAUGGAGGAAGCGGGUUCAAAUUCGGGCUACAAAGAUCAGGAUUACCUAAUAGACCCGAAAUGAAGAACUCAUUAUUGAAACCCGAUGGUACUUUACCGUUCAACAAAUUACCCGAAAGGUUAAACCGGUUCAACCUCAGCUUCGUUAAAUCUUCUGGAAUUUUACCGAUCAGUAAAUUACCGGACAAAUCGAGGUAAAUUAAUGCCGGUAGGUUACCGAGGGUAGGUGGGAUUUCGCCGGUGAAUCUAUUUCUGGCAAGGUUCAACUCAGUCAACUCAGUCCAUGAACCCACUGAACCUGGUAGAUUCCCUGUUAACUCAUUAUCUUCUAACUCAAGCGUUUGUAACUUCAAAUCAGUGAUACAUAACGGCAGUCCACCGGAAAAUCGAUUUUGGCUCAGAUUAAUUUGUGUCAAAUUAUGUAAUUUACACAUACCUUCUGGAAUGUCGCCAGAGAAAUUAUUACCGGAAAUUCGAAGAAUUGUUAGCUUUUGAAGUGCUGAGAUUGAAGGAGAAAUUGAACCCUCGAAAUGAUUGUUUUGUAAUUCAAAAAGCUGCAUUAAAGGCAGACCCCAGAAUUUUUCCGGCACGUUACCGGAAAAUGCGUUAUCACCCAUUCGAAUAUAAUUCAAGGACUCACAUUCGCCGUAGGAUUCCGGUAUGCUCCCCGAGAACCGAUUCGUAAAAAUGACUAUGCGCUGAAGCUUCCUUUUGUGACAAAGAAACGGCGGUAACUCGCCGGAGAAAUAAUUAGUCGAAACAUCGAAGUCUUCUAAAGGAGAAAACUUACCGAGGUCGGACGGUAACUUUCCGGUGAAGCUGUUGUUGAAGAGCUUUAGCUGUGAGAGAUAUUGAUUCGAAGCUAAAACUUCAGGGAUUUCACCGGUGAAAAAGUUGUCAUUGAGAUUCAAAGACUCGAGAGGCAUUGCAGCGAUUUUCUCCGGUAAUUUUCCGGUGAGGCUGUUCUGUGAGACAUCGAGUCGAAGUAGACUUGUCAACUCAGCUAAACUCUCAGGUAACUCACCGGUUAACUGGUUUUGAUAAAGCUCGAUUUGCUCCAGUUUCUUUAACUUCGAUAAGCUUUCUGGGAUUUUACCAAUCAGGAAAUUACAUGUUAAAUCCAGACUCUUUAACGAAAUGAGAUUCCCAAUCGAAAACGGAAUUUCGCCGACGAGAUUCGCGUUCGUCAACCAUAAAUAUUCGAGCUUCGACAAGUUUCCGAUCUCGUCCGGCAAUGGACUCGGUUUGAAAGGAUUGUACCCGAGUGCGAAGUCAGUUAACUCAGUAAGAUUACCCAGAAAAGAAGGUACCUUUCCGUUGAGUAGGUUCCCACCAAGUGAAAGAACUUUGAGAGAUUUCAUCCGUCCGAAACUCACUGGAAUAUCGCCGGUGAAAUUAUUGUUAGAAAGCUCAAGAACUUCCAAAUGCUCCGACGAGAAAUCCGGUAACUCGCCGACGAAUAUGUUACCCGAAAGAUCAAUCUUCCGUAGACGAAAACACGGAGAAAUAGCCUGAGAAGACAGUGAACCGUUGAGGUUAUUAUCGGCGAGAUAAAGAGUUCGAAGGGUCCGAAUCCGACAAAACUCAAACGGAAACCCACCAGAGAUUCCAAACCCAGAAAGAUCAAUCGAAGCAACAGUACGGUUACGAGAUUCACACCAAACACCGGUCCAAUUACACGGACUUUGAUCAGGCGUCAAAAUAACCCAAUCGCGUAACCGUCCAUUCGGAUCAUCAAGCUGAGAAUCCUUGACGCGAAUCAGUAUUUGCGAAUCUCCAUUGAAAGAAACCACGAAAGUGAAAACACAAACAACCCAAAAAAGGAAACAAAUCAAAGCUUUCAAAUCUGGGUUUCUCAUUUUCAAUCCAAAAACAAGAACACCACUCGAAAAAUCAUGGCUUUUUUGCUUUUGGGGGGGUGGUUUUGUUUUUAAGUGAAAAAACAGUGACGGUUACUGCAUGAAGACGAUGAAGAUUAAAGAUUUAAACUUUAUUUUUUUUCAAGUUCACAUGAAAAAAGCGAUUCAAAAAUGGAAUCUUCUACUACUUUUUUCCACUGUUUAUUUUAUAAUUAUGGGGUGUGUCGCCAAAUGACAUCGAAUUGCAGCAUUGGAAUCGAAGUGAAUUUGUGGUUUACAGUGGUGGGGGGGGGGAGGUAACUUAGAAAACGUGAUUUGGUGUUUCGUUUAGGCAGUUUAUUAAGGAAAGAGGAAGUGACAAAAAGCAGAUGCUUUUAUUGGGUUUGCCAAAACAGAGAAUUGAUGCAAGAUUAAUGUGAUUUAUUAUCAUAAUUUUCCUUUUCUUGGAUUUUGAAAACUGACUUUCAAAUAUGAAAAUUUUGUUGUAUUAGAUUUAAUUUGAGAGCAACGGGGGUGUUUGAAAAUGAAAGUUAAAAAGGGAAAACUAGGAGUAAGAUUAUGUAUUAGAUUUAGGGUGGGUUUGGAUGGGUAAUUGGGCGUGAUGUUGUGCAUUUAGUUUAUUUUUUGUCUCACGCUACUGUAUUGCUACAAUAUCUAAUCACACUGCCACCACUAUUUUUAUAUUAUCCACAUAUAAACGUACCUCCAUCUAAACUCACCCUUAAUUUUCCUUUUUUUUUGUUGAUUUUUAUUAUUGAAAACUAGCGGAAUAGUUAAAUAGUUAUAUUUAGUGUCAUGUGUAUUUUUAUAUUGACAUAUAAAAAAUAAUUUUUAACAUUAAAAAAUGAGUAUAAAUUUUAACAAAAUGAUAAAUUUGUUUUCUAAUAUAUAAUAAUAAUAAUAAGAGAAAAUAACAGAUUAGAUAAAGACCACCCAUUGAAAAUUAUGUCAGCAUUAUCAGUCUACAAUAUUUAAACAAUUGCCUCUCAAGGAUAAUGAAAGAAUUGUAAAAAUGUAAUUUCAUCAUUUUAAUAGUCCAUUUCUUUAUAAUUUUUAAAAGAUUAAAUCAAAUUUUUAUUUUUUUAGGGGGUCAAAGUAUAAUUUUACCUUUAGUGAUUUAAAUUUUAAAAAAAUUUAAAGGCCUAAAUGGAAACUUUUUCAUUUGGGAGGAUGAGAGCUCCUGUCAACCCUCUUAGUUUUGCCCCUGAAAUACUAAGUCUCUUAAUCUUGCUAGGUUCGUCAUCACAUCAGUAGCAGGGGUAAAGUCAGAAAAAAAAUUUAGAGGGUCAGAAUUAAGUUGUAUAUUUUUUCGAUAUUAAAAAAUACAAUUUUACAAUUUUAAUAGCAUAUAUCUUUAUAGUUUUGAAGGAUUAAAUUAAAAUUUUAUUAUUUUUGGGAGGCAAAGUAUAAAUUUACCAUUAUUAAAUUAAAAAUUUAUAAAUUACAAAUUAGUUAAAACUAAAAAAAAAAUCAUUUUAGGGGAUUAGUGCCCCUUAUAACCCCCUAGCUCUACCCUUAGUUACAUGGUUUACCUUCUCUACAUAUAUACACAACUUCCACUUAUCAAGGUCGUUUUGGUCUAAUGUAUAAAUAUUUAUUUAUUUAUUUUUUAAAUAAAGUAAAUAAAAUAUAAUUCAAUUCAUAAUACAAGUGUCACCAUAAUAUUUUUACAAAAAUGAAAUUGCUUUAAAAUUUGAUUAUUGGUUAUGAAUUUUUUUUAAUUUUAUAAACCGAAUGAAAAUAUUAUGAGGUGUGCUUUUUAAAAUAUUAAUUAAAAUUAUAUUUUUAUUAAAUUAAUUAAAAAAAAGGGAGUAUGAAAUUUCGUUUUAAUUAGAUAAUUGGAGGUGCCAAAUAUCAUAGGCAAAUUGAAGAAUAAUUAAGGGAAUUUGGAAGGGUUUGGUUUCAGUCAAUUCAUUCAUGUGCAUUGUAAGAUAGCCUAAAAUUGGUAAAAAGGAAGGGUUUUAAUUAAAAUAGUAUAGUAGAUUCUUUCCUCUAAAAAAAUAAGAUCAUGCAUUAUCCAUUUUAUAAAAUUUUAUUACUUAAAUAAUUCUUCAAUCAAAAUGUUAUAUCAGUUUAAGGAUAUGUAUUGAAUUAAUUGAUUUACAAAUCGAUAUAGACUUAUUGAAUCGAGUUAAAAAAUGGGUUGAAUCAGUUUUCUCUCUUUUUUUAAUAAUAAUUUAUUGGUUUAAUAUUAAUUUAAUUAUAAGUUUUUAUCAUAUCUGUUUUUUAUACAAUGCUUAACUAUCUGUAACCCCUCCCCAACCCUUAAAUAGGAGGAUAAUACGUUUUAAUACACUAGAACCAAUAUCCUCUUACAUUUACAAUAAUAUUAAUACCAAUCGAACUAUUUUAAAAUCACGAUACGACAGGGGAAAAAAGCUAAUAUAGUGGGAGGGACUAGGGAGAAGUUUUUUUUUAUUUUGCAGUGUUCCAAUGUAGGGGCAUUAAACACGAUUAGAAUGUGAUUUGUGGUCAAAUUGGACCUUGAAAUGUGAACUUUGAGGAUGAAAAUAAAGUAAUUAAAAAGAUAGAGCAUCCCCCGGGCUCUUCGUCGCCGUGAUGACUCGGUUGUUUCGAUACCCGAGGUCGAGACCCUGUCUUAAUUACCCAAAUUAGGAGUGCCUUGAAACCACAACAUUAUUCAUUCGUGCCUAUAUUUAUUAUUAUUUAAUUCACAUUUGAGUUUGGUUUAAUCCUAGAAAAUAAUAUAUUAAUUAUAUAUGAGUUAAAUAUUUAUAUUGUUAUAUAAAAUAUGUCGAUUAGGUCUUAAUUUAAUUGAUAUCUAUAUUGUUAUCAGUGUAAAAUGAUAUGAGUGUACGUGUUUUUAUUUAAGGAUUAAAGAGAGACUAUAAAUAAUUUUAAAAAUUAUAUAAGAAAAUAUAUAUGAUAAAAAUUUAUAACAAGAUUCAUAGUAAAAAAAUUUAAUUUUAUACUUAUAAUAAGUAUAGAUAAUGUUUUUUUUUUUGAACUCUCACGUACAAAAGUCACAUUUUUCUCUCGUGACUCACACACACAAAUAUAUAUUUAUAGAUCCGAAGGCAAAAACUUGGUUGAGCUAACACAUCUGGUUCUCAAUUAUAAUAAUCUAUAAAGAAAAAGAAACAAAAGUUAAUGAUGUUGGUUAUAAGUGCUUUAAUCCAUGGUAAGUAGAGAUUAUGUCAACAUCAACUAGUGAUUAACAGAGAUAUCUCCAGCUUUAUUUAGAUUUGCUUUUAUUAAUUAAUUAUUAGUUAACAAAUUCAAAACUCACUUUGGGUGUCAACCUACCAUAAGACUUGAGAAUUCCAAAAAAAACAAAAUUAAAAUUAACAGCUUGGAUUUUUGAUAUUCAUGAGUUGGGUUGAACUAAAUUAAAAUCUAAAUUUAAAAAUAUUUUUAAGCAAAAGCCGAUUUUUAGGGUUGACGUAUUUAGGUAAGCUCGAUCUGCUCAAAAAUUUUAUUUUACUACUUAAAAAUAAUAAACUAUGGUUUUAAUUGAUAUUUUAUAUAAUUUUAUAGUUAAUUUUAAAUUGAAUUUAGGACCAGACGAAACCGAUAUGAGAAAUUUUGUAUUCAAAAUUGACCUUAGUUGAAUCAAAUUUACCGAAUUGAGCCAAGUACCCUACGUUUGAACAGGUCUAUUAGCAAGAGUAAGUCAAAAAGUCUAUGGGUCUAGUGGGGUAUUUCUUUUAUGCAUCUUUUUCAACAUUCCAUUGGCUGUAAUGGCAGCCGCUGUUGACUGCUUUAGAAGAACUGUAGGGUUACCUGAACCCCCAAAAUUCUAGAACACUGGGUAGACACAAUUGAAAGAUUAUUGGACUGGUAGAUUUAUUUUGGGUUAAAUCAAGUUUUAAGAUUUUUUAAUAUUUUUAUUUAUGUAAUUUGAGAUUAUUUUGGGUUUGAUCAAUUCAAGCUCGUAUUAUUUUAAGUAAUUUAUUCGAAUCAUUUCAAAUUAAAAUAUUAAAUUGUGAAGAACUCAAGUUUGAAUAAGAAUUAAGUUGAAAAUCAAGUACCCAAGCCUUUAAAUAAAUCUAUUUAGCCAUUCGUCCUGGUGGGUGCUGUUCUAACUUGCUUGGGGGGAUAGAUAAAAGUAAUGUCAACUGGGGUUUCUAAGUUUGGAUUAUUGAUAGUUGCUUCACUUAGAAGAUGAUGAAUGAGGAAGCCAAUCCUUUCUACUAAGUAAUUGGGCAAAUAUUAAACUUGAACUUCAAGCUAAGCUUAUAUAUAUAUAUAUAUAUAUGAUCUUUUCCAUAUUUUAAGGCAGUGCAUCUUCCACUUUGAUAAUAUGAAUGCCAUUUUUUAAAGUGAUGAACAUAAAGCCAAAACAGGUCACAAUCCUUCACAGUCUAAUAUAUUAGAGAAUUUUCUUCAUUUUUUUCAAUACAACGAAUAAAAAUGCAAUUUAUCAUACUCUUAAUUUCGAUGACAAGGACUCAAAUUUUGGAAAUUAUUUCUUUUUAAAAAAAAUUUAGAUGUUAUUUAUUUUUACCAUAUUUAAGUUUAUGAUUGAAAUAGUGUCGUCAGUUAACUUGUUUUUAAUUUAGUUGAGAAAUGAUUAAAAUAAUAAAGAUGUAAUGAUAAAUUAACUCCUAAAGUUUAUUCCUUUUAUUACUUUGGUCUUAAUUCUUCUUUUUUAUGGGAGGGGGGGACUACACUAGUAUUCCUUAACGUUCAAAUUUUGGUCAAAUUAUUUCUGUUUUUUGAAUUGUUAAAAUUUUAACAGCAUUGAUGUGUAUGUGUACUCCAUUCUUGAUGUGGAUUUUUUUAAAGAAAAAAUUAAAUAUUUUUUAUGUAUUUUUUAAUUUUUAUAAAGUACUCAUAAAUCACUAUGUGAAUUGUCAUGUCAGUUCUGUUAAAAUUUUAACAGUCAAGUCAGUUUUUCCCUUAAAUUACUUUAAACUUAAAGGUUAAGGACUAAAAUGAUAAUAAAAAUUAACCAUUAAAAAUUAAAUUACCAAUAAUAAAUAUUACGAUAAAAAUAGUUUUAUUUUUUAUUAAAUAUUUUUACAUAAAAUUUAUAAAGAUCAAUUUUAUCAUUCCAAUCAAAACUUUAUUUUUCUUUUACAUAAAAAAAUGUCAUCCAAAAAAAUCAUAAUGUAGUGUAUAAUACAGACAUUGAUGUUAGAUUGUAAUUAUAUUAGCAUAGUAACUUGGUUUUCGGGGGAAAUAUUAUAAAGUACUUCAAAAGUUUCACAUGCCUAAAAUUCUUUUUGGUCUUGUUUAUGUGUAUUUUGGAAGCAAAUUAGGUUUAUAAUAUAAUUAUUAUUACUUUUUAAACAAUUUUAUUAUAGGUUUUGAUCAUAUUUGUUUUUUUUUUUAACAUAAUACCUAAAAUUAUCUAUAGCCCAUCCCUAACCGAUAAAUAGGAGGAUAAUGCAUUUCAGCGCACUCAAACCACGUCCUUCUGUCACGGGGCUAGACCUUUCGUCUCGCAAACCGUGCGGCCUUAGGCGAUCCGUUUGCUUCAAACUCUCCUAAGUCAGCCUUUACGCCCAAAAGUGAGGAUUCUUUAGAACUCCUCCAAGGCACCAAUUUGUAUAGCGAAAGCGAUUGUGCCAAAAGAAGCUACAAGAGAACAACAGAAAGAGCGUUCACAAAGUGUUUGAGUAAAUGCUCUCAAUUCUCUUAUUCACAAAGAAUAAUGAAACAAUUCAGGAGUGAGUACAAAUGAGGGGGAGGCUCUCUAUUUAUAGUUGAGCUCCCCCAAAACCGACGGUCAAGAUACAUUUACAUCGACGGAUGAGAUUUAACCAUAUCCCUUAAUUUUAGGGAUUUACAAGAUAAGCCUUAUCAAAUCUAAUCUAAUAUUUACAAGAUAUGAUUCCCUCUAUCUUCUAAGAUUAGUUACCAUAUUAGCCUAAGUUGCCAUCUCUUCAUUAUCGGGCCAACUAGGCUUCAAUCUGACAGGCUUAUCUAAUAGCUCUUUGAAUCGGGCCAGUUCUCAUAGGCCAAAUGAUCCCCAUCUAAGUAAUAGACCUCCAUUGGAUGCAUUUGGUGUGAUGGUCACGGGUUUUAAACUGCAGCCCGUGACAUUCUCCCCCACCCAUUCUCGCAACGCCCUCGUUGCGACUUCUGAAUGGCACUGACUUGAUUCGCCUCGGUCUCGUCUCGACGCCUUAGCCUUUCCCUUCUUUCGAGACUUUUGCCUCGGCAUACGUCGCUUCUUAACUCAAGCCAUCCUACUCGCUGCAUUUACUCUGGUCCACUAUCCCACAUGCAUCGUUUCUUUUUCCUUGAAGUCUGAUGCACCACCCACCUCUCCCAUAGGUGGAAGCAUUGUCGAUGACUCUGCCAACUCUGAUGCUUCACUCAACUUGAGCCUCAUUAGUCCUAGCUUCACUGUUUUCAUCGCAACUUUUCCCUUUAAGUCCAAUGACAAACUCACCUCUUCCUUUGGUGGAAGCCCCUCCGAUGACUCAACAAGCUCAUACAUUGCCUUUCUUUUGACUCCGGCUUACUUUGGACAGUUUCGCAACUCAUGCAGACCACGGCACAAGAAGUACUUUACUCGCUUCUUUUUGCUCCUCUUUGCCCUCUUGGCUUCGGCUUUUCCCUUGCUUGAACCAAACUUCUUGGGCUCCUUGUCUGCUCCAUCGUUUCCCUCGAUGACAGACUUCAUCGGACACUUCCACAACCUAUGCGGACCACGACACAAGAAGCACUCCACUGACUUUUUCUCGCUUUCGGCCUCCUUGCCUUCGACACCCCUUGCACUCAAACCAAGUACCAAGGCCUUACCCACCGACUUCUCCUUAAGCGCGGAUUUCUUCGGACAUUUCUUUAACAUGUGUGGACCGUCGCAAAGAAAGCAUUUCAGCUUGUCCCUUUUCCUCUUGGGUUUCUUCUUCCCAACUCGUGGUUUCCCAUUACCACCAUUGUCGCCAUUGCCAUUGCCAUCAACGAUAUCUUCCUUGUGAUCCAUUUCACAUACGUCCCUUUCCUCAGACUUGGAAGACCCAAGCUUGUCUUUCCCUAGACCAAGCUUGACCACGGACUCAACUACCGUCAUGGCUUCCGACAGCUUUUGGACACCUCUUUGUUCCACCUUCUGUCUGACCCACGGCUUCAAUCCAUUCUAAAAAGCAAGCAAUGCCUCUCUUUCGGUCACCUCUGAAAAUUGGAGCAUGAGUUCCUUAAACUCUUGAACAUACUCCCCCACUGUGCCCCGUUGCGUUAUCCCUUGCAACUUUGCCCGAGCUUCUUCCUCGGUAAACUCUGGGUAAAACUGUCCCUUCAACUCGCAUUGAAACUCUUGCCACGUUCCAAUCUCACUUUGCCUUUUAUCUGUGGUCCUACCUCACCACCAUAAAAGCGCAAUGUCAGUAAGAAACAUUGAAGCAGUAUUUACCUUAUCCGCAUCAUGCACGAUGCCUUUGGUACGGAAGUAGUGUUCUAUCCUCCACAAGAAAUUGUCCACAUCGCAUGCAGACCUUGUCCCUACAAACUCUUUCGGCUUUGGGACAUCCUCGUUACUGAGUGCUGCACUUGACACUCUAUUCCUCGCGGCUGCUCGGCACAAGGCCAGCUCUCCCUCGAGUUCCUCUAUUCUUGUACUCAAAGCCUUCGUCGUGGCCAUUUUUUCCUCUUUCAAAGCCAUCAUCAUGGCCUCGAGAGCAUCGUUUCUCUCCGUCAAUUUCUUCCUUUGGGAAUCUAGCAACUCUCGCACGUUAUCCUUUUGGGAAGUGAGACACGUGGUAACAAAGUCUCUGGACUGCUCCCUCAAGUCAUCAAUGCUUUCCCCAAGCGCAUUGCCUGACGCUUUUGCGUCCUCCAUGAACUCCUCAAGUUUACCCAAGCGUUCCUCAACAGCCGACAACAUCUCCCUCAAAGACUUCCUCGCCCACAUUUGUUCGAACUCUUCUCUCGACAUCCCAACGGUGCCUUUAAACCAACUCGAAUAUCACUUGGUUCAAAACUUGGCUCGGAUACUACUUGUCACGGGGCUAGACCUUUCGUCUCGUAAACCGUGUGGCCUUAGGCAAUCCGUUUGCUCCAAACUCGCCUAAGUCAGCCUUUACGCCCAAAAGUGAGGAUUCCUUAGAACUCCUCCAAGGCACCAAUUUGUAUAGCGGAAGCGAUUGUGCCAAAAGAAGCUACAAUAGAACAACAGAAAGAGCGCUCGCAAAGUGUUUGAGUAAAUGCUCUCAAUUCUCUUAUUCACAAAGAAUAAUGAAACAAUUCAGGAGUGAGUACAAAUGAGGGGGAGGCUCUCUAUUUAUAGUUGAGCUCCCCCAAAAUCGAUGGUCAAGAUACAUUUACAUCGACGGAUGAGAUUUAACCAUAUCCCUUAAUUUUAGGGAUUUACAAGAUAAGCCUUAUCAAAUCUAAUCUAAUAUUUACAAGAUACGAUUCCCUCUAUCUUCUAAGAUUAGUUACCAUAUUAGCCUAAGUUUCCAUCUCUUCAUUAUCAGGCCAACUAGGCUUCAAUCUGACAGGCUUGUCCAAUAGCUAUUUGAAUCGGGCCAGUUCUCGUAGGCCAAAUGAUCCCCAUCUAAGCAAUAGACCUCCAUUGGAUGCAUUUGGUGCGAUGGUCACGGGCUUUAAACUGCGACCCGUGACACUUCUACAUUGACAACAAUAUUUAUACCAGUCGAGCUAUGACUCAAUCGGCAUAAGUUAAUUAUCUUGGUGCUAAAGGAGACAUACUAUAAAACAUGUCCAUAGAACAUAGGCAACAUCCAAGGGAAGCACAAAAAUAUUGAAUAGAUACUUCACUUUGUUUAAAAUUAUCUUAAUGUUAAAUGGAACAAUUUAAUCCAUAUAUUAUUAUAAAAUUAAAUAAAGUGAAAUGGAGUUAGCAUUUACUGUUAAAAAUAUCAUUUAUUAUUUAACGAAUAUAAUAUUUUUAAAGUUUUUAUGGUUCUAUAAAUAAAAUGUUUUGUUUAGAAUUUAAUUGCAAUUGAAAAAAAAUAAGUUUCAAGAUAUUUUUUAUACGGUAAAUGUUAACAUUUUUACAAUUUAGACUUAUUUGGUUCUUUUUUAUAAUAUGAGGAUUAAAUCAAUCCAUUUGAUAAUAAAUGGACUAAUUUGAUGUGAUCUCUAUAAUACAGGGACCUCCUAAGUGCUUUAACCAUUUGGAUAGUCAAGGAAGGCUUGGUAUAGUUAGUUAGCAAAGGCAAGGCCUUGGAUCUUGAGUAUCUAAGUUUAAGACUCACCAUGCACAAUUAAAUCCGUGGGUCUUUGAGUUUCACCAUGAGCAAUUGUUAUGUGUGAGUUUUAGUCUGAUUAGUUCGUAAUAGUUUGAUUAUACGUUUGGUGGUUGCUUGGACAUAUAUUUAUACUUAUACGAUACUUGUGGAUGAAUAUUUGAAUAUAUUUUAUACAAAAUUUAGUUCUAUCCUUAACCCCUUCCUACUUUUAAAUUGAAGGAAAAGACGCACUUAAAUGUGUUUGAAUUCAUAUUCUCCUUAAUUGUUAUAAUUGUAAUUGUGUCAAUUGAAUUAAGACUCAAUCGAGAAAUGAGAUGCCAUUGUUUGCUAUUCUCUAAAAAUGGUGUUAUAUUUGAUAUUGGUUUAAAUUUGGCUGUUACCCUAUACUUGUUAAAAGCUAUAAAUUAAAUCUUUGUAUUUUUAUUUAGUCAUUUUUAAUCUUUGUAUUUUUUAAAAUUUAAAAUUUUAGUCUUCAUCAAAGUGUAAUUGUUAAAUCAAAAGAUAAAUCGAGAGAUAAAAGUAAAUGAAUAAGCUAAUAGCUUUGAAGUGAAAAAUUUUAUCCUUGUAUCUUAAGGGAACUCUUACCUUUGCAUACUUUUAAAAUAAUUUAUUGCCAUAACAAAGACUAUAAUUAAUUAGUAGCUUAGAUUAUAAAAGCGAAGGCAAAGCUAAAAAAACCCUAUAAAAAUGUAUGUGGAUGUUGCGACUACUUUGAAUCCUGGAGAUUUAGUCAUGGGAGGUGUAUGUCGAGAUAAUGUUGGAUCUUGACUAUUUGGAUUUACUGGGAAGUUAGGAUAUGGGCACAACACCAAAGUUGAGUUUUAUGCUAUAUAUAAUGGUCUUCGUCUGGCAUGGGAACAUGGCAUAAGGAAUCUUGUUAUCGAGUCAGACUAACUUGUGGCUAUUAACAAUAUUUUGACCCCUUUGCAACAACAUGAUCCUCUCUCCUUAAUGAUCCAGAUUUGUGAGCUGCGUCAAUGCAAUUGGACUUGUAGUCUUGAUCAUAUUUAUCGUGAAGCUAAUAUGUGUGUGGAUUUUUUUGGUGAGCUGGGCAUUUCAAGGGCCUUUGGUGUAAUUAAGCUGGUUCACCCUCCAAGAAUCUUACCAAGGAUAUCCAAGAGGACAUUAUUGGUGUAACUAGGCCUAGGGCCAUUAUUACUUAAAGAGGUCUUGGACCGCUCCUAUGUACAAAAAAAAAACCCUAUAAAAAUUAGAACCAAUUAAUUUCCCUUUGACUUGUCAAAAAUAAUUGUUUUUUUCAACAUUAAUUAACUGUAAAUUAAAAAGUAUUGAAAAUUAUGAGAUGGCUUUUAGAUUUACCAUAAUUUAUAGUUUUAACAUUUUUUAACAAACAUUUAUACUUUAUUAUUCAAUUAAAAUCUUAUUUAAUAUUUAUAUUAAUUUUUUUAAAAUUUAUAUUAGAUAAUUAUGAAUAUACCAUAAUCUAAUAUAUAUUUUGACCCAAUAGAUAAAAUAUGUUCAAAUAUGCUAAGUCUUUAUAUUCUUUUAAAUUUGGAAUUUAGUUACUGUAGUUUUACUUUUAGAAAUUUAGCCUUUUUACUUUUUAGAUUUUAAAAUUCAAAUCCAACUGUUAACUAGAGGUGCUCAUGGGACUAGUUAGGUCGGGCCUAAGCAUGAUAUUAACAUACUUUAUAUUUGCUUAAACCCAUCCCAACUCAAAAUAUGGGAUUAAACUUUGCCCAAAUCCGUUCAUAUUUGUAAAAAAACUAAGUCAAGUCCAUUUUAGGUCCACCCAUAUUAUUUAAAAAAAAUAUUUAUUUUAUUUAAUUUUAAUAUUUAAUAAUUUUAUUCAUUUUUUAUUUAUUGAAAAUUUUUAUAUAGUCAUAUUAACAUUAUUUUAAUGUUUACAUUAGAGUAGUAUUAUAUAUUUAAUAUAAGUUUCUUUUUUUAAUGUGUUCUAAAUUACAUAAUAUAUAAAAAUAACAUAAUAUAAAGUAUUAUAAACUUAAAAAUGGGUCGGGUCGGGCUGAGCUUGGGCCUUGAAUGUUCAAGCCUGUCCCAUAUUUUAAACGGGCCUUUUUUUACCUAGACUCAUUUUUCGAGCCUAAUAUUUUUGUCUAAACCCUUCCAAAUUUUGGGUGAGCCUUUGAGCCUGGAUAGAUAACUCAGCCCAUGAAUAGGUCUACUGUUAAUACAAUUAUAAUUAAUUUGUUAAAUUCAAGUUCAUUCCAACUUCAUAUUUUUAGUUACAUUAAUACUAAGUGAUUUUUUUUUAUCAAAAUAACACACUAACAAAUUUAAUAACAAAAUUAUAUAAUUAGAAACCCUUUUCACUCUUCUUCUGUGACUGUUAAAGCUUGGGACCAGAACGUCAACGUUUCGUCUAUGUUGAUUGUAUAGGUGGGAAAAAGGCAACAGUGUUGUUGAUGUAUUACCAAUGACCAAAUUGGAUGAGUUUAUGGAAAUGGUGGAAUUAUUUAUAAGGACAUCAAAUAUCAUACCGAUAUUCAAAUUACUUAAGUUUUAAGAAAUGCUAAGAGGAAGAAGGUGGAUUAUUUAUUAGAAUUUGCUUUUGUUGAUCCACUUUGAGAUGAUAAGAUUGGGUUUGGUUGAUUAGAAUUUCAGUGAGGUAGAUGUGUCGGAAUUUGUGUUUUAAGAGGACGAAAUUUUGAAAAUAAGCGAGAGUUGUAGGUGUAAAAACUCGGAGGUUUAUGGAGAUGUUGUUUAAGUGUAUGACUGGGUUGAUAUCAUAAAUUAAUUCGACACCAAUUCAAUUAAUAAAAUUAUUAAAAUAUCAUUUCAUAUUUUAAAUAAAGCAUAUUAUUAUUAAGGAAAAAACCUAAUAAAAAAGUUGCAAAUAUUAAUAUUUGAACUCAUACUUUUAACAUCUAUAAAAUCUUGUCUUUAUCGUUUUAACUAAAGCUUUAUUUUAAUAUUUUUAUACAUUUCAAUGUCAUUACACAUUGUUUCACCCACAUUAUUUGCAUGUUACACAUGUUUUAAAUAUGUUAUUUCUAUAUGUAUACUCGUGUGAUAUAAUUUCUAAUAUAUUUGGGUCUUUAAUGUUGAUUCUCUUUAGCUAGUAAUACUUGGCCAUCGGAUAUCUUGAAUUUCAUCGCUCUUUAAGAUGCAAGUUGCUUAUAUAUAUAAUGAUAUAACAAUUUUAUUUAUUUAUUUUUGUAUAAUUACAUGUAUUUUUACCAGUUUUACGGUCUAAGUUUAAUUUUGUUCAAACUAGUGAUGAUUCUAAGAUUUGAACUCAGUCCGAAUAAUUGGGAAAGAAGUCUACUACUACUUUUUCCUGACCACUUGUUUUUAAAAACAUAUAUUUAAAAUUAAUAUGAGAAAUCAAUACAUAAAAAAAAUAGAAUUAUUUUUAAAUUAGUCUUAAACUUCAAAAUAUUCUAACUACAUCUCUAAACUAUUGAUGUUAUAUCAAUUAGGUCCCUUCAUUAUUAAAUUUGUUAAUUUAACUGUUAAAUGACACGUCAGAAUUUAUCUAACAUAAUUUAAAAUGAAAAUUUUAAGAAAAAUGAAUAUUGCAAAAAUAGAUGUUUGAAAAUCUUAAUUUUAUGGUAUUCAAAACUUUUACAAAAAUUUUACCAUGUACUAUUUUUUCAGUUUACUUUAUUUUUAAUUUUUACUUUUAAAAGUUAUUCAACAACGUUCUAUUUAUUCAUUUUAAAUUUAGCUAUAUAAGAUUUGAUGUAUCAUUUAUCGGUUAAUUUAACAAUUUUAAUAGCGAAAGGACCUAGUUGAUAUAAUAUCAAUAGUUUAGGAAUGUAAUGAGAACAUAUUAAAGUUUAGGGACUAAUUUAAAACAAAAGUCAUAGUCUAGGGAUGUCUGGUGUAAUUAACUUCAAAUAACAUUUUAGAAAAAAAUGAACUAUCUUUAACUCAUAUGAAGCAUUAACUAAAACUCUCAUCAAACUCUUAAGUGGUGCAAGUUUAAAUUAUAUCACAAAAGUUCUUAAAAAUUAAUUUUUUAAUUAUUGAUCCGAUGGAUUGAUUGGAUUUAGAUAACCAUGACCCCUUCCACCGCUAUCAAAAAGAAGAAAUUUGAGCCUGAAGCCCUAAAGGGUUUUCUUGGGCUUCGAGAAGUACAUGCAUUCCUUGUCUAAAUCGGGCCUAACGAGUUCAUAAGAAAUAAAUCGGUGGAUGAUUUGAGAUUUGACAUAAGAAGAGAUUCGUAGAAGUGGGGAAAGUUCUAACAGAAUUCCCACUGCUUCCAAACCCAAAAUUUUUAAUUUUUUUCUGGGAAUGUGCAGUUCAAGAUAAGAUAGCUUUACACGUUUCCCAAUUCAGCAAUCCAUUUCUGCAACCAAAAACACAAAACACUCCAUCAAUUUAUAAACUCGAAGCAAUUUGAAGAAAUCCCAUCACUCAUUUCACCUCCAAUCCUUUUAAAAACAGGGCAUUCAAUAUGCAGGAGACCAAUAAUUCUCGAGUCAACCAACGAAUUGCAACAAUCUCGGCUCAUCUCAACCCACCCAGUUUUUCCCACAUGGAGGGUAGUUCGGGUUUGGGUCGAGCUGACUGCCGAGCCGAAGGUGGGUCAACUGGUUUCAAGGUGGCGAUUUUGGGAGCGGCAGGUGGGAUAGGGCAACCGUUAUCAUUGUUGAUGAAGAUGAACCCUUUGGUUUCUGUUCUUCAUCUUUAUGAUGUGGUUAACACUCCUGGUGUUACUGCUGAUAUUAGCCACAUGGAUACUGGAGCUGUGGUAUGCUAGUGUUUUUCAAGUUCCCUUUUACGUAAGAAUUUCUUUAUUGAUUGAAAAUUGAAAUCCAUAUAUAAGUUCUAAUUAGUGGUGGAAAUGGAAUUGGUAGACUUAAGAGUAUUUCUGGGUUGUUCUUGCUUGUUGAGUUGAAUUUCAUGUUGUUGAAUGGGAAUCAAGAUAGAAUUAUGAUCAAGCUGUAGUUAAGAUAACAAAGCAUCAAAAUUCAACCUUGAAACCAAUAGGCAAUGAAGCUGACAACUUUACCCCACAAGUUUUAUGCUUGAUUAAUAUAAUCCAUAUAUAAGAAUUAUGGUUUUUCUUAGUAAUGUUGUUGAAUUUUUUAGGUUCGUGGAUUUCUGGGGCAACAGCAAUUGGAGGAGGCUCUAACAGGAAUGGACCUUGUAAUUAUUCCAGCUGGAGUUCCUAGGAAACCUGGAAUGACAAGGGAUGAUCUUUUCAACAUCAAUGCUGGAAUUGUUAAGACACUGUGUGAGGGAAUAGCUAAGUGCUGUCCCAAUGCUAUUGUCAAUUUGAUUAGUAAUCCUGUUAAUUCCACCGUUCCGAUCGCCGCAGAAGUUUUCAAGAAAGCUGGCACCUUUGAUCCAAACCGACUUCUGGGAGUCACAAUGCUUGAUGUUGUGAGAGCCAAUACGUUUGUGGUAACUACAAAACUUGCCAUUGGUUUAUCAUUCUUUGUUGUUAAUUAGCCAACUCUGGAUUUUCCCACACAACGUUGAAUAGGUUUCCUUUGUAUGGUAAUCAUAAUGCUUGCCUUUAAUGUAUUUUCUUCUUCACUGGUAAUGAACCAAAUCUGGAUUCUGAUAGACAUUGAUGGAUCUGUUUUUUUCCAAAAUAGUAUAUGUAUCGUAUAUGCCUAUAAUGGAAACUGUAUAAUCUAUGGUGGGAUAAACUGUUACUAAUGUUCAUUUCUGAUGUUCUCUUGUAAUUUUUGCCCUCAUUAGUUUGGUUUCUUUAUAGGCGGAAGUCAUGGGUCUUGAUCCGCGGGAGGUUGAUGUUCCAGUUAUUGGGGGACAUGCAGGGGUUACUAUUUUACCUCUUCUAUCUCAGGUUGAAAAGUACUUGUUUUCAAUUCAAACAAUUUUGUAUUAAAAAGAACAUUCUAUGUAAGAGCUCACCGUUCCCUUUAUACAGGUUAAGCCUCCAUGCUCUUUCACCCAAAAAGAAAUCGAUUAUCUGACAAACCGCAUUCAGAAUGGUGGUACAGAAGUCGUUGAGGUAAAGCAUUUAUGUUUUGAUUUCUAGACUGAAAACUCCGAUAGCUGGAAACCUUAUGGUGAACUAAAAGUAAUCAAAUCUAUGGGACUUAUGUUAGUUCAGACAAAAUGUUGAGCAAAUCACAAUUUUGCACCUGUAGAGCACAUCUGGCUAAUAUACCUCAAAAGUACACUAUGAUCCAUGGGACUCAUGUUAGUUAAGUCAAGCUGACUAUGCUGCACGGUUCCCUUAGUUUUACCAACAUAUUCACUUGUUGUUCAUGUUAGAAUGCACCAUCAUUCCUUGGUUCUUGAAAACUUAUUUGAUAUGUUCUUGCAUAUUGUUACCGUCAUGGUGUUUACAUGCUGGACGGCUGGUGAGUAAUCAUAAUUUGUAACUUCUUGCAGGCAAAGGCUGGUGCUGGGUCUGCAACAUUAUCGAUGGUUAGUUACUUCUCUCUCUCUCUCUCCACCACUAAGUACUGAUUUUGUUUGUUCCUAUGUAAGACAUGGUUUUAGGCUAUAGGCUGGUUCUGAAUGCAUAUUGAAACACAUAAACAAAAGUGCAGGCAUAUGCUGCGGUUCAAUUUGCCGAUGCAUGUCUUCGGGGCUUAAGAGGAGAUGCUGACAUUGUUCGAUGUGCAUUUGUGGCUUCUCAUGUAUGUUAUCUGUGUCUUUACAGUAAAAGCUCUCCCUGUUGCGCCGUCCCCCUUCCUUAUUCUUUCUUUUAAGCUUAUAGUAACGACUAAUACACUUCCUUCUAGGUGACUGAAUUGCCCUUCUUCGCAUCCAAGGUAAGACUCGGUCGUUGCGGAGUUGAGGAAAUAUACCCUCUUGGCCCACUAAAUGAGUAUGAGAGGUAUGCGUUUCGAACUAACAUGCAAUAUAUAUAAUUUGUCCCUAUCUAAAUUUAACAUAAAUGAUAAUCAACAGGGUUGGCUUGGAGAAGGCGAAGAAAGAACUAGAAACUAGCAUUGAGAAGGGGGUUGCCUUUGUCAAGAAAUGAAUAGGUACUCCAAUACCCCCAAAUCUACCUUUUCUCUGAUAACCAAAGUUUGUAAGAAUAAGGGGUAACUCUCCUCUUUUGUUCUACAUAAACCCUUAGUCAUGGGGUUCCUAGAUGUGACCCAACAUGGCAAAUAUGGACCAUGGUAAAAGAUUCAUGUAAUAAAUAGAAGAAAUGGUUUGUAAACUUUUCAUUUAUUUCAUUUCUUAUUCUAAUAUAAUCAAACAGAAUAAGUUAAAUCGAGCAAAGCGUCCCUUACACUCGGAGCACGGAAUGUUAGUUGGUUGAGUCUCUCCUGAAAUACUCAAACCUAUUCCGUGUUACUCAAUUGAUAGUUAUGCUCUCAUCAAAUCAAGGGGUGCUUAAAUCCUUUGGUUCUAAAUGUAAACAGCCUGUCUGCUUGGAUUAUUCUUCAGCAGUAAACUCCAGCCAUUACUGCCCUUUCACCUUGGUGAAAAAUCUUGGUCCUUUACUGCUCUACAUAGCCAAGCCAAGAAGUAACUGGGGUGAGUCAACAUCCUAUAUGCUUUGGGCCUGAAAUUUCUAAAACAUAAAUGAACCAAUCAAAUGGGGGUAUUCUGUCCAAUUUUUGGCACAUUUUUUGGCCCAUAUGUAAACUAAGAGUUUACUUGCAUGUUUCAUUUUUUACUUUCUUUUAAUCCUUUUUUUAAUUAAAAAGCUGAGAAAGAUUCUAAAUUUACAAGCUUAACCAAACAUAAAUGAUUACCUCUUUUGCAAAACAAAUGUAAAAAGCCCCUUUUCUUCAGUUCUUUAUCUAAGAAAAGAAGACAAAAGAAAAAAGAGAAUAAGGGCUACGUGAGUGCCAGAAAUUGCUCUGCCUUUCCUAGUAGGAUGCCAUAUAAAAGCUCACAUGAUAGCUAUUUGCAUUUAGUGCUACUUUAUUUAUUUUUGAAGCUUUGAUUCUAAUGGUUUCUACGAAUAUAUUAUUAAUAUAAAUUUCUUUCCUCAAAUUUCAUAGUGAAUUCUUAAGAUUGUCAUGUCUCUAUUUAGUAUGAUUGUAAUUGUUUGAUACCAUUUUAACAAGAUAAUGCUUCUAAUUAUAUAGUAAGAACCAAAGAUUAAGUUGAAGUAAUUAAUAGGAAUCUAUAAAGAUGGCCCCAUGAAACAUUACAUUGUUCUUUUUAUUUUUUAAUUUGUUUCAUCAAGUUUAUUCCUUUUUCAAAUUCACUGCCAAAAGGUAUUCUUUUUUCUACCCCACAAGUUUUUCCAUGAAAAUAUCUGUUACAUUAUCUGUUAAUGUAUAUUUUUUUUAUGAAAUUUACCUUUUUCGAUCUUUUUACUGAAAAGUACGAGGGGAGCAGGUUUGAAAUACUAUAUAUAAAUUAAACUAGUGGAGUGGACUUAAGGUUUAAAAGUUACUUUAAUGGAAUAUCAUCCAUGUAAUAUAUGAACUAUAUUGAAGAUAAAGUAUUUCCCCCCUGCCCCCACAUCCUUUUUAGACACACUAAGUUAUUCUUUAUAUGAUAUUGUACACAAAUUAUCACAUUAUUUAAUUUUCCAUAAUCUUAUAUUAAUCUUAUUUCUAAUUCCUAAACACAUGCAUAUGCUUCUUAAUAUUGCACUAUAGGCCAAACUUUGUUUUCUAGAUAUGCUAGACAGGUUUGAGCUAAAGUCCACUUAAUGCAAUUUUCUUUCUUUCCUUUUUCAUUCUCCUUUUACAGUCUAUUUUGUUCACUAGAGUAGGGUUCCACUUUUCUCUUUGUUGAUUUUUCAAAAGUUAUGAACGUGAAAGGUCUUGUCAUGUCUAUCCUUUUGUUUUUCUUUUCUUUUAUGUGUGUGUGUGUGAUUUGCAGUGAAACAGUGUCUUAAUUAUUGGAUGGAAAGUGGGAGUGGUUAUUUUUAGGGGAGGCCAGCAAUCAAUCUAUCCAUGCAUAUGUGUGUUUCUUUAAUAAGUACAAGUAAAUUAGUGCAUUUUGAAUAAUUAUCAGUAAAACUAAUCACUAUAAUGCACUGUUGAGAAUUUACUACUUGAACAUAGAUAUCAAAGACCUUAUGAUUUCAAUCUUGUAGGUAAGUUAAAGUACUUGUACAUUACAAAUUCAUGGAGAGAAUAUUGUUAUAAAAAGGAGCAAUAUAUAAUUUGGUACUUGUGUUUUUUCUUUUUUAAUCUAUUAUUUGUAUUUGAUAAAUAUUUUGGUACUUAAAGAUAAUGGUGUAACUUAUUAGUGUUCAAUUUAGGUUUUAGGGUUGAUUUGAUGAAAGGUAAUUGGUAUUAUUAUUAGGUUUGAAUUUUUCAUGAUUUUGUUAAUAGAAUAAGUUUAGUAUUAAUUGUGAAUGUGCAUGUGAUUUAUCUCGAAUUUUAGGGUUGAUGUGAUAAAUGCUAAUUGCUAAUAUUAUUAGCUAAUUUUAAAUUUUCAUCAAAUCAGCUAUGAAACUCGAAUUAAACACAAAAUUAAUGUUGUUACUUUCAGGUAUCAAAAUGUAUAACUUUUGUCAAAUGUGGGUACCACAUUGGAUCAAAAAAUGAUGAGUACCACAUUAGACAAAAGAUAUCAAACUUCAGUACCAAUUCAUGUAUUAAUAUCAAUUAUGAUCUUUAUUUAACGAUUUCAAACUUUUAGAGAUCUCGUUCAAAUUUAAACUUGCUAAAUUUAAGCUCAAAUAAAAAUUUUAUUUAUGUUAUUUAAGAUAUAUUAAGAUAUAGGUGAGAAUAUGGAUAAGCACAAUAAAUUAGCUUAAGGAAUGGUAUAUUCAUUGUACCUAAAAAGUUGGGGAAGUAACCAAGAGAACCACAAAUGAUGAAAGAACAAAAUAAUAGCAAUAAAUGAAGGCAUGUGGGCAUUGGCCUAGAAUGGUACCCCAAAUUAAUUGAUGAAAAAAGAAUUAAAUGAAAUUUUAUAUCAUAAAUUCUUAAAUGAGGCUAAAGAUGUCAGAAAACCCUAACUUCAAUGUCACAAAAUUUAAAGCCAGAUGCUGAAAAAAAAAACAUGGGUUCCCACAAACAUCUAUGUUUGUUGUAUUAAUCAAGUCCUUUACCUACAUUGUGGACUUUAGCUUUUUCUUCCCCUAAUUUCAGCUUUUAUUGCAGUUUGUACCAAUUUUUUCAUUCCAAAACCAAUAUAGCUCUUUGCCUCUUAAUUCUCUAUAGCCCCUAACAUGGACUACAUACAUAUAUAUACAUAAACCCUAGUUGCUCUCAUUUUUAAUUUGUUUGUACCUCAAUUAUUUUUAUAAAAACAUAACAAGUAUUUACUGAUGAUGUAUGUUAAUAUGGUUGAAUUUGGUAUUGAGAGGGCUGAAAUAAGAUUAGGAAUUUUGAGGGAGAAAGUUCAAAGUUUUAUUUUAAAAUGUUUUAAAUCGAAUUAUUAAUAAUUGGGAGGAUCAAAACUGCUAUUAUUUCAUUUAAUCAAGGGGUUGAGGCUUUUAUCUGUCCCUAGCUAAGCUCUUGUUGAUAGUAUAUAAAUUUACUCAUUACCAAAGUAUCAAAUACAAACCCUUUUUUUUACGUUUAUUCACUAAAUUUUAAAAAGUUACGACUUUAAAAACAUAACCCUAAAUUUUUUUGUUCUCUAAGUAAAAAAAAUGAUGAGUAAAAAAAGAAAAAGAGAGAAAUAUAUAUCCUAAUAAUUGGAUAAGAUAGGGGCAAAUCAAAAUAAACAUUGGAUCCCCAUAAUUGAAGAAUGGCAUAUAUUAGUGGGAAAUUAUGGUGUCCCAAUUCAUUUUUAAUCUGAUGAGUGCUCACCAUUGCUAAAGAUAGUAUUGGAAGGCAAAAAAGAAAAGGAAGAUGGAGACAACACACAUGGAUUUUUUCACAGCUUUCAUCUUACAUCAUUUAGUCUUAAAAUAUCACAACAAAAUAAUUAUUUUUUCCAAUCCUUUUUUUUUUUUAUCAUCGUUUGAAUUUUAAUCUAUAAUCUAUAGUCUUAGAAGGAGGCAGUACUGGAUCCCAAUGUAAGAAAAUAAAGACAAGAUCGAAGUUGCUAAGAAAAAAACCAGUCCUUUUGCUGGGUUGGGUGCCCUCACCCCUGUCGGAUGCAUGCACAUGAAAAUUAUUUCGACUUAAUUUACGUUACGAGAAAGAAAAUGGGUUAGCAGAUAUCAAUCCUUACGAGCAAAAUUAAAGGAAUUGUAUUAAGGAGUCAAAGUGCAAUUUUACUUAUGUCUUUAUUAACUUUCAAGUAUUUGAGUUAUCGAAUAUUAUUUUUGAAAAGAAUAUAUAUGAAUUAAUUAAAUUAAAAUUUGAAUGAUAUUUUUUUUUGAAAUUUAUAUUUAUUUAAUGCAAUUGAUUGUUGAUAGUAUGCAAUUAAAAUCCCUAUUCACAAGAAUCCUGAAACACAUGCAUCCCAUAUUAUUCCACCUUAUCAUAUUUACCUCAUUUUUCUGCUCUCCAUUCCAUAUAUUUUGUCCUUUCUAUUUGUUUUUUUUUCUCUUUUUCAUUUAAUAUUUUCUCACUUCCUCAUCAAUCAUUGAGCAAUAAUAAUAAAAUCUAUUUUCUUUUGAAUUUUUCUUCUUUGUUAAGGUUUCUACUAUUCGACCGCAAUCAUUGAACAUUCCCUUCACAAGAAAAAAGAAAUAAAUUUUAUAAAAAAAAUAUUUAUGUAGUUAAUAAUCUCUUUAUAUAUAUAUAUACAUAUACAUUUCAAUUCUCUUGAAUAAAUAUGUGCGGGUCUAUUCAGAUUUGUUUUGGUUUAGGCGUGGAUAUAUAUUUCGAUUAUCAAUUUUUUUAUUUAUACAUUGCAGGCUCGUUCUUGAUAUUUUUGGAGCUCUAAGUAAAACAAUAAAAUGAAAGGUAUGUUAAUUGUGAAUGUAGAUAAAAGAAUGAAAAAUGGAAGGUGAAGAUAAUGUUGGUUUAAAGUGACAUGUUGAGUAGGUUGUAUUAGGUUUUGAACAUUGAUGUCCACUCAUUAAGUUGCCAAUUAUUUAGUGGUUAACCCUACAUUCAAUGUGCUAAAUUGCCUAAUUCAAACCCAAACCGACAGUAUAAGAUCCUUGAAUAGAUAUCUAAGGACCCCCCAAAAAAAUUACAACUUUGUACCUUUAACAUAUAAGAAGAUCUAUGGAAGGACCGAUUAGUGAUAUAAUUUAUUAUUUGAGGGCUUUUCUUUUUUGUCCUUCUUGUUGUAUUUUCCCUUCACCUGUCAAGAACCCUAAAUGAGAAGGGACCAUAUGCUCACAUUUAUGCAACAUCAGAAGGGGAAACCAGAGAAAUUUUGAAUCACAAAAGUGACAAAACAUGCAAAAGCACAUGUAUGAAAGGAAGUGGGAGAUGAAUUUCGAGUUUAUUUUUUGAUAUUUCGUGCAAUCACUUUUAAAAGAAAAUAUCUAAUAGGCCUAAAAUUCGAGUUUAAGCAUAUAUGAUAACUCUGUCUCCUUAUUUGCGUAGUAAAUGGUCAAAUUAUGAUUUUAGUUCUUUUAUUAUGCUCAAAUUUAGUUUAUCAUUAAUUAAUCUAAGUAGUUAAAUCAUGUUUAGCUGUUUCAAUUAAAAUGUUGAUUUGGAUAGAUUAUAUAGCAAAAUCCCACCAACUUUGCCACAAAUGGUGAAGGCUUUAUUAAAUGUUAGCUUUCCUCUUUGAAUGGGGCAUAUGAGGUAGUAUCAUGCCACUACUAUGAAAUUAAAAUUGAAGUCCUUCAACUUCAAGUCAUUGGGUGGGUCUCCAAUGUUACAAAAAUAGGGUCAUCCUGCCCUUUGGAUUUUGGACAAUAUUAUAGGUAUAUAGCUUAAUAUUAUUAUGUUGGAGUGGACAUUCAUUAAUAAUAACAAACAAAACAUAAAUAAUAAUAUGCAUAGUUUUCACAUUUUUUUUAUAUUUCAUAAAAAUUUUAAUGAUAGUUUCAAUUUUUCAUUUUUUUAUUAACUAAAUAUAUAUUUUAUUAUUAGUUUUAGUGCAGGUUUGGAUAAACGGUAUAGUGUGUUUAAUUUACUUUUUGUCUCAAACUAUAAUAUUUAAUUUCACCAUCACCGUUAUUUUUAUAUUAACUACAAGUAAAUGCACCGCGUAUCCAAACUCACCCUUAACUUUACUAUUCCGAUCACAACUUCCCUCAUAGAAAGGAAAGGAAAAGGAAAUUAAAAAAGAAAUAUGAAUGAUGAAAGCAAAAAAAAAAAAAAAAAUAAAGAAAGAAAGAAAGGUACUUCCUAAUUAAAAAACAAUAUAAUGUCAAAUUAUUUUCUUUAAAAAAUUGUCAAUCAGAAUGUCCGACAACAUAUUGACAUGCUUUGGAUUUAAAAUUUCAAACAAUAAUGCAUGGUCGAAAAUAGAAUAAAUUAUUUUACGUGAAAAAAAAUAUUUUUAAAAUUUUAAAAUACAUUACAUUGUUUUUUAAAUAUAAUUUUUGUGAAACUUUUUAAGUAAAUUUAUUGAUUGUGCAUUAUACCAAUUGAUUAUUUUAAUAUAGUUCAAAUAAAUGUUUAAUUCUGUUCAAAAUUUUUCUACUUCCGCACUUUUGAAAUUUAGUCCAUUUACUUUUUAAUCCUCGAGAAUUUAGUGUUUUUUCUCUUUUGAUUUAAUAAUUGAGAUCAAAUUGAAUAUCGAUAAUACAAUCAUUUGAAUUAGAUUAUUUGGUAUUUUCAAAAUGAAAAAAAUUACUCACGUGGUCGAUAUUACACGCAUGGAAAGUUAAUAAGCAAAUAAAAAGGUUAAAUCUAGGGUUAUAGGAUUUUUGUUUCAAAAUUUGAGGUUAUAAAAUUCUUUAGUAAUGUUUCUAAGAAGCAUAGUAAAAGUCGAUACUUUUGUUUUUUAUUUUAAAAAAAUACCACAAAACUUAUUAAUUGUGUUAUUAUUUGAACUUCAGCUAUUGAAUAACAAAUGAACUAUUUUUUUAAAGUUAAAAAUAGAGAGAUUCAAUUUUAUUAAAAAAAAACACGGGUUGCAAAAUUCAACCAUAAAUAAAUAUUGAAUUUAUAUUAGAGUAAAUUAAAUGUCACUAAACUAUUAGUAAGUUCUCUUAAUAAGUUGAAGUGUUAAAAAGAAUAACUAUUAGUAAGUUACGUUUUCGUCACUCAACUUCAAAAGUUACAAAAUGAUCACUAAAUUAUUCGAAAGUUUUCAUUUAAGUUACCGGACUGUUAAAUUCGUCGUUCUAUGGUUUUCUCUAUUAACAUCGUCUACACCAAUUGAAAUAUCUUUUUUUCUUCUUUUUUUUCUCUAGUUUAGUUUUUUUUAAUAAAAUAACUUUGAAUGUCAUAAAUUUACAAAUUAAAAUUCAAAUAUCUUUCUUCUUUGAUCUUCGACAUUAACCAUCAUACCAACUUAAAUCUAAAAUAUAUUGUUGACACUGUUUUUUAGGAUGAAAAAUGGGGUUGACUUGGGUUUUGAAAAAAAAGAAACGGGAGUCGCCACCAAUCCUCUUUUUUUUAUGAGGUGCGAUUGGAUUACCUCAAAGAGGGGUUGUUUUUAAUAAACGGUUUGAUUUUAUUAAAACAACAAGUUUGGUCCACGAAAUUUAGAAAAACGGGUUCGGGAGUCGGUUACGCACGAGGAAGGAUUAGCACCCUCGAUACGCCCAAAAUUGGUACCUAGUUGAUUACUUAAUGUCUUAAUGUCAAAAAUUGAGAACCUUGAAGAAUUUUAAAAAUACGACCCUUGUAUUAAAACGUUGAAAAUUUUCAGGAAAAAGGGGAUAUUUCACGUUAUUCGAGAAAGAGAAUCAUAUCUAGUAAGUUAGGAUACAAUGUCUCAAAUUCCCGAUACGCGGAUGAAAAAUGCUUAUUUAAAAGAUAUUUUAUUAUCUUGGUUUUAGAAAUAAAUCAGGCCCAGUAAGUUAGGGCACGAUCUUUUCUUAAUUCCCGAGAUCGUUUAAAAACUUGAGUUUGAAAAGAUUCGUGUAUUUAGAUUUAUUAUGAAAAUCGAAACCCAGUAAGUUAGAGUACGAUCCUUUCGAAUCUAAACACGAAAUAUUUUUAAAACAAAUUUUGUUAUAUCGAGUAAAAUAAAACACGAAAAUCGUAAUAAAAAAUGUGAAAGCAAAUUACAUUGUUGUUAUACGUGGUAAAAUCAUAAUACACAUAAAAAUAAAAAAUAAUACGAGCAAUAGCAACAAUAAAUAUCUUUUAAAUAAGCAUUUUUCAUCCGCGUAUCGGGAAUUUGAGACAUUGUGUCCUAACUUACCAGAUAUGAUUCUCUUUCUCGAAUAACGUAAAAUAUCCCAUUUUUCCUGAAAAUUUUCAACGUUUUAAUACAAGGGUCGUAUUUUUAAAAUUCUUCAAGGUUCUCAAUUUUUGACAUUAAGACAUUAAGUAAUCAACUAGGUACCAAUUUUGGGCGUAUCGAGGGUGCUAAUCCUUCCUCGUGCGUAACCGACUCCCGAACCCGUUUUUCUAAAUUUCAUGGACCAAACUUGUUGUUUUAAUAAAAUCAAACCGUUUAUUAAAAACAACCCCUCUUUGAGGUAAUCCAAUCGCACCUCAUAAAAAAAAGAGGAUUGGUGGCGACUCCCGUUUCUUUUUUUUCAAAACCCAAGUCAACCCCAUUUUUCAUCCUAAAAAACAGUGUCAACAGCUUGGCGACUCCACUGGGGACUACGAUAAGAGGGUCAAACCACGUGGUGAUUACUUUUUGUCUUUUGUCAAAAAUUGAAAAUUCGGUUUAAAAUUACGAUCCUUUCAUCGCAUUUUAUCUGUCUUUAUCAUAAUCAUCACCAUUGGGGUUUAUAUUUGCUCUGUUUGUUUAAAUUUUGGUAUCUUUCCGCAUUGCAUUGCAUGACCGUUGGUCACACCUUUAAGUGGGAGUGAGAAGCUACGCCUUCGUGAGGUUUUCACCUCCGCAUGGGAUAGUGAAUCGCUUUCGGGAUAUAUCCGUACCUAUGUCUUCGUGAGAUUUUCAUCUCCGCAUGGCCAUAGGGAAAUGUAUCCCCCUGAAUCGAACUUGGUCCGUAUGAGCCUAUAAUGGGUGAGGAUCGAGGAAUUUGCUGGUUCAGGUACCCUACUUUAGAACCAAACCACAUGUAAUGAGCCAUAGGAACUGACCUAGGUAGAGCUACUCCAAAUUUUUAGUGCUUACCUAAAUGAAUGUUGUUUUUAUUGUCGCUUAUUUUAAAUCUUAUUCUGUGUUUAAUGCUAAUUUACUUUGUGUGUGAUUGCAUGGCAUCUUCAUUCUAAAAGAGGUAUCGAUUUACGUUCAGUUUCUUGGUAGAAAGCUUAUAAUGGAAAAGGGGUUUGUUGAUAAAGUAGAGGAUAAUGUGGCUGUGCGAAUGUGGGCUGAAACGACACAACGGGAGAAAGGCGAUAGUCUUACCGAAGGGUACGUGUCAGAAUUGUGGGAUUUUACCCGUAUCAGUGUAAUCCAGAAUGACCUUCGAGAAAUGAAAGAAGUCUGGGAUCAAUGGGAUGUCGAGGCCAAGCAGCUGUUCUAUUGUAACUACGGUGACCUACCUUAUCUGCUUAGUGUCAAAGUGGACAAGUAUUUAUUCCGAGCCCUUGCUCAGUUUUGGAAUCCUGCCUACAGUUGUUUCACUUUUGGGAAGGUAGAUUUGACGCCUACUGUGGAGGAGUAUACGACCUUGCUUCGGUGCCCAAAGAUUCAAGUCGACAAGGCUUAUUCCAGAGCUGCUUGUGUCCCUCCGUUGUUAAAGAAAUUAAUGAACAUCACUGGAAUGAGCGAGCAGUGGGUCGCAGCCCGGAUCCAACAGAAGGGCGACAGUAAAUGUGUUCCUUGGAAAAGUUUGUGAGAUUUGGUACUGGUACAUCCUGACUUAAAGAAAAGGGUCGAUGUCUUCGCUUUAGGUAUCUAUGGACUAGUGGUUUUCCCCAAAGCUUUAGGACACAUAGACGAGGCUGUAUCUGAUUUGUUUGAUCGGCUUAGUAAAGGGGUUACACCGGUUCCGGCAAUACUCGCUGAAACUUUUAGAUCCUUGAAUGCGUGUCGAAAAGCAGGGGAGGGAAGGUUUAUUGGAUGCGCGCAGCUCUUAUUAGCAUGGUUCCAUAGCCACUUCUGGAAAGUCGAAAAGGUCUCUUAUCGGGUAUUCUCUGAUAACUACUCCCCUCUAGGAGAAUUGGUGGCCACGCCAAGACGGGAUGAUCUUUCAGAAGAAAAAUGGAUAGAGAUACUCCAGAAUCUCCACGAUGAAAAUAUUGAAUGGAGGGCUCCUUGGUUAAUUCCUGAUGAGAUAUUGUACCGAUGUGGAGAUUUUGACUGGGUUCCGCUGCUCGGGAUAUGGGGAACUAUCGGAUAUGCUCCUCUACUCGUAUCAAGACAGUAUAGAUCACGACAAUUCAUACCAGCAACGCAGGGGUUGGCCUAUUGUGAUUUUUCCUAUAGGGAGGACAACUACAAGAAGAAGGUUCGAAAAAUAUCUAGUGCCUGGAACCAGACUCGUCGAAUGAAGAUCUUAGCCGUAGGUCCGACAAUUACCCCCGAGUAUAGUCAGUGGCGUGAUCAAAGGAUCAACGACAACAUCCCGGCGUCAAAUUCAGAAACUGCUCGAUCUUUAGAGGAACACUUACAAGUUUUGCCUUCUGAGAUAGAAAUCAUCAAACAAGAAUUUGAAAAAAGGAGUUUAGAAUUGGGGAAGAAGAUAGAACAACUAGAGGAAGAAAAAAUGCAGUUAGGACUGGAUGUGGACAUUCAAAGAUUAGAGGCCGAUAAAUUGAGAAAAGGAAAGAACAAUGCAGAAGAAGAUUUGGACAGCCUGAAGACAGAUUACAAGAAGUUGCGUAGGUCGGUAAGAGCUGCUGGCUUGGGUAAAACGCCAGAACAAUGGCGACAAGAAAUUCAGGAGGAAAAGACGAAAGCUAAUCAAUGGGAAAAGAAAUUUCAGGAUACUCGGGCUCGGGAAGUCGCCUUGCGAAAGAGUCUACUAGUUUGCCAAGACGAGAAGACGGAGUUGAAGGUUCGGAUAACUGAACUAGAAAGAUCGCUUCACCAGUACUGUAAUCGUAAUGUUACGGUUGAAUUAAGGGCGAGCUUAGACAAGAUUGAAGAAUUAAAAGGACAAAUAGGAGGGCUAGAGAAUGCAUUGCAAAAUAGUGAAAUCCAGAUAGAGCUUCUGGAAGAAAAUAAUGAGCAGUGGCAAAGACAAUUCUGUCGGUCUCAAGAGCAGAUUAGAGAAAGAGAUUAUAUUAUGGGAGAGGCGGUGAAUCAAGUACGCGAAGUAGCUGAUCAUCUGCAAACUCUAGCGGUUCAGGCUGAUCUAUUAAGUUUGAAGUAUGAGUCAGAGUCAGACAGGGGCCGAGAAUUAGCUUGGCUUCUUAGAAAGGUUAAGGCUUUGAGUGUAAGGGCAAAGCCAUAUAUGUAGUCUAUUUUAUGUAAAGAAACUCUUUAUCUAGUAAAGUUUUCUAAUGAAGUUGAAUUAGAAUCAGUGCCUCUUUUUCUUUGCAUUCUUUUCAUGCAUUGCAUCACAUCAUAUGCAUUAAUGACCAUUAAAAACCUAAUCGAAUAAAAUCAUUUCAGUUAACCUGGAAAACCAACAAAGUUACGGCACCCGAGCUAAGACAAAAAUUAUGGACCAAAGGUUGGAGAAGCUAGAGCGACUUCAAAAAGAAAUGCAAGACCAGUUGCAGGCACAAAUGAAAGAGCAAAUAGAAAAGAUUCAGCGUGACAUGGUGCGAAAGAUGGAGGAGUCCCAAAACGAUCUGGUGGCUAAGAUGACGCAAUUAUUGAAGGGAAUAGAUAGGGGUAAAAGUCCUGUGAUUGUUAGUGAAGAAGAAAACAAUGGGGAACCACUUUAUCCUCCAGGUUUCACGCCUCCGCAUGCGCAAGUACAGACUGAGCUGCAUCCGCGGAGACCCUCUGUGUCGGUUAGGCCUCAGCAGUUCCAAGGCGAUGCUUCAAUCCCAAUGAAUUUUCAACCCGGAGCGGGCUUUAAUCCCGGUGAUAGCCCGAAUAAUAUUGCUGUCCCAGAUCUUGACGAGAUGGUUGAAAAGGACAAGGCGAAGGAGGAAUUUCCAAAACAAUUUGAGGAGAAAUGGAAAUGGAUAGAAGAGAAGUUUAGGGCAAUAGAAAGCAUCGAAAGCUAUGGAAUAGAUGCAAAAGAUCUGAGCUUGGUUCCGAACUUGGUGCUCCCUUACAAAUUUAAGAUGCCGGAAUUUGAGAAAUACAACAGGACUAGUUGUCCAGGAUCCCAUAUUACUAUGUUUUGUAGAAGAAUGACGGGGCAUAUUAAUAAUGAUCAAUUAUUAAUACAUUGUUUUCAGGAAAGUCUUACGGGAGCGGCGUCAAAGUGGUACAAUCAGCUGAGCCGAGCUAAAAUUGCUACUUGGAGGGAUUUAGCACAGGCUUUCCUGAGACAAUACAAUCAUGUCUCAGAAAUGAUGCCUGAUAGGAUAACUCUGCAAAAUUUAGAGAAGAAAUCGAACGAAAGCUUUAGACAAUAUGCGCAGAGGUGGCGAGAGGUGGCGGUUCAGGUGCAACCACCGCUUUUGGAAAAAGAGAUGACGACGCUUUUUAUUAAUACUUUGAAAGCCCUGUUCAUCACUCACAUGUUGGGAAGCGCUUCAAAAAAUUUCUCGGAUAUAAUCAUGAAUGGUGAAAUGAUUGAGCAUGCCAUUAAAAGUGGAAAAAUAGAUGGAGGAGAAAAUAAUAGGAGGGCACCCCCGAGGAAAAGAGAAAAUGAAGUGAAUAAUGUGAAUGCUUAUGGUAGGUCAAUUACCGUGAAUCAACCAAAGAAAGUGGUUGCUAAUCAACAAGGAUCAUCAAGACAAGAGUCGGGAGCUAGGCAAACUACUGAAAAGCCCCAAUUCACGCCAAUCCCGAUGUCAUACAAGGAGUUGUAUCAGACUUUAUUCGAUGCACAUGUUGUUGCUCCCCGUUACUUGAAUCCUCUACAACCCCCGUAUCCAAAAUGGUAUGAUAUGAACGCGCAAUGUGAUUAUCAUGCGGGAAUUUCUGGGCACUCGAUAGAAAAUUAUACUGCCUUCAAGAAGGUAGUAGAAGGACUUAUCAAUUUAGGUGUCGUCAAACUUGACGACUCACCUAACGCAAAGAAUCCGUUACCUAAUCACGCAGAUAAGGGGAUGAAUAUGGUUAGCGAAGGUACGGGAGAAGAAGUCAAGACUGACAUUGCUGAAGUAAAAACUCCAUUGAAACGGGUCUGGAAAGAAAUGGCGAAAAGAGGGUUGGUUAUUUCAGAUUCUGAGGAAGGGCAUGAGAUGGGAAAUUAUUGUGAAUUUCACCAUAAAACAGGGCAUGAAAUCCAAGAAUGUGAAGGAUUCAAGGCUUUGGUUCAAAGCAUGAUGGAUAACAAGGAGAUGAGGUUUUAUGAAGAUGCGAGAGAAAUGAGAAGCAUAUGCGCGACAGAGUUGGGAACAAAGGCUCCAAAAAUAAAUCAUCCUGUGGUCAUUAUCUCACGCCCUAGGGGUAAUGAGGUUAGGGCUCAGGUAACACCGAAAAUUGUAAUCCAGAAACCAUCAAAUUUCUCUUAUAGGGAUAAUAAAAUGGUGCCGUGGAAUUACGGGUGUAAUGUGACCAUUUUGGGAAAAGGAGCAGAAAGAAAUCAGGAAAUAGGUUCUUACACGCGCAAUGGAAAAAGAUAUGACGCUCAAGCAGAGUCGUCCAGGGAAGAGAAUUGGAAGAAAGAACAGAGAAAAGGGAAAGCAGUAGAAGUUGAGCCAUUGGUAAAUGAACCAAUAAAAGAAGAAGAGGCAAAGGAGUUUUUGAAGUUUUUGAAACACAGUGAAUACAGUGUUGUGGAGCAACUGCACAAAUAGCCAGCCCGCAUUUCUGUAUUAGCUUUACUCCUAAACUCAGAAGUACAUCGGAAUGCACUUUUAAAGGUGCUAAACAAAACAUAUGUGGCUGACGAUAUUUCGGUAAACAAGCUGGAUCGGUUGAUCAACAAUAUUGGUGCUGACAAUUUUAUCUUCUUCAAUGAUGAUGAAAUACCAUCCGGAGGAAGAGGUUCUACUAAAGCCCUGCAUGUUACUGUCCGAUGCAAAGGGUACACACUCCCGGGGGCCUUGGUUGAUAAUGGAUCUGCACUAAAUGUAUUGCCUUUGUCCACUCUUAGUCGAUUACCAAUAGACAGUUCGCACAUGAAAGCAUGCCAGAGCAUAGUAAGGGCAUUUGAUGGAACAAAAAAAGAGGUUAUGGGGAGAAUUGAGGUACCAUUAAGGAUUGGCCCAGUCACUUAUGAGGUGGAUUUCUUGGUAAUGGAUAUUAAACCCUCCUACAACUGUCUAUUGGGGAGACCGUGGAUACACUCAGCAGGGGCAGUACCUUCAUCAUUACAUCAGAAGGUGAAGUUGGUAUCGGAGGAUCGGUUGGUAACAAUAGAUGCAGAGGAGGAUAUUAUCGCAAUGAUGACUAGCGAUGCACCUUAUGUGGACAUCAACGAUGAGGCACUAGAAUGUUCUUUUCGGUCGUUAGAAUUUGUGAACGCGAUGUUUAUUGCGGAGGGAAAUAGAAUUCCAGUACCGAAAAUAUCCAGGACCAAUGAGAUGGGAUUGCAAUUGAUGGUAGGAAGAAGAGCCUUACCCGGGAAAGGAUUGGGAAAAUAUCUUCAGGGAAGGAUUGAGGCACCAAUGCCGAAGGAAAAGUUUGAUAGAUUUGGUUUAGGAUACAAGCCAGACAUGAAGCAGAAGAAGAAAGAAGUAGAGAAGAGACAAGAGAGAAGAAGGGCGCGUUUGAAUGGACAUGGAGCUAAGUGUGAGCCUUUAACCUUUCCCCACAUAUCUACAUCUUUUGUGUCGGGAGGAUUUAUUCAUUCUGAAUGUGGAGUGUCCGGUAGCGGCAUGGGAGGAAUGUUGGAAAACGUUUAUACUAACGCCGUAGAAGCAACAGAAAGGAGGGCUUUGUUGGAGAUCUGCCCUUAUGAGCCUGGAAGCGAGCUAAACAAUUGGACUGCUGAAGAAAUCCCUGUAGUCUUUAGGGCUUAUUCAGAGUAAUGCUCAAAACAUUCCUGUUGUUUGUUGGCCUAGAAACGAUAUGAAAUCUUUUCUGAAAUAGGCAUUGGGCCUAAAUAUCAUUAUUUUAAUAAAAUACGUGUCUACGUUCAUCUCGAUCAGUCAUUUUUUUCCUUUCAUAUUUUUCAUUUGGUUGAUUGUCUUACAAAUAAUUCUUUCAUUUGUAAUUCUUUUGCACAACAUAUUCAUAAAUUUAUAUUCUUGGUAUAUUCUUUGAUCUGCCCACAUAGGUCUUCAGAUAUCAAUGACAUGAGUGACGCUGCCUCAAACGCGGAGCCUAUUUUUGAGCAAGAAGUGUGUUCAGAGGGAUCCCACGACUUUGAAAAUGACGAAGAUUAUGAUGCAUCUCCGGACUUGUUAAGAAUGAUGGAACAAGAGGAUAAGCAUAUCCUACCUCAUAGGGAAUCGUUAGAAAUAGUGAGCCUAGAGGAUGGAAAGGAGGUGAAAAUUGGAACUGAAAUCACCGCAAAGACAAGGCAAGACCUCAUCAAUUUACUCCGAGAGUUCAAGGAUGUUUUCGCGUGGUCGUACCAAGAUAUGCCUGGGCUAAGUACUAACAUUGUGGUGCAUCGUCUGCCCAUAAAUGAGGAUUGUAAACCCGUUCAACAGAAGCUUAGGAGAAUGAGACCUGACAUUGUGUUGAAAAUAAGAGAAGAAGUCAAAAGACAAUUCGACGCUGGUUUCUUACAAGAGGUCAAGUAUUCGGAUUGGGUAGCCAACAUCGUCCCUGUUCCCAAAAAAGAUGGAAAGGUACGAAUGUGUGUGGAUUAUAGGGAUUUAAACAAGGCUAGUCCAAAGGACAACUUUCCACUGCCUCAUAUUGAUACUUUGGUAGAUAACACGGCGGGCUAUUCAUUGUUUUCUUUCAUGGACGGUUUUUCUGGAUACAAUCAAAUAAAGAUGCAUCCUGGAGACAUGAGGAAAACCACAUUCAUUACCUUAUGGGGAACAUUCUGUUACAAGGUAAUGCCCUUCGGAUUGAAGAAUGCGGGAGCAACAUAUCAAAGAGCUAUGGUGACUUUGUUUCACGACAUGAUGCACAAAGAGAUCGAAGUCUAUGUUGACGAUAUGAUCGCGAAGUCUAGAACGGAAGAAGAGCAUGUUCAGGUCUUGAAAAAGUUAUUUUUGAGAUUAAAGAAAUUUCAGCUCAAGCUUAACCCGGCCAAAUGCACGUUUGGAGCCAGAUCAGGGAAGUUAUUAGGCUUCAUAGUUAGCAAAAAGGGGAUCGAGGUUGACCCAGACAAAGUAAAGGCAAUACGAGAUUUACCUCCCCCGCGCACUCAGAAGGAGGUUCGAGGUUUCCUAGGGAGGCUGAAUUACAUUGCUCGGUUCGUCUCACAACUGACAGAGAAAUGUGAUCCAGUAUUCCGGCUCUUAAAGAAACAUAAUCCGGGUGAAUGGGAUGAAGAGUGUCAGAGGGCUUUCGAUAAGAUAAAGCAGUACUUGGCUAAUACCCCAGUCUUAUCACCUCCAAGUCCAGAUAGGCCAUUGAUAUUGUAUCUAACAGUGUUGGAGAAUUCCAUGGGAUGCGUAUUGGGCCAACAUGAUGAGACAGGAAAGAAAGAAAGGGCAAUAUACUACCUCAGUAAAAAAUUUACCGAUUGCGAAAUGAGGUACUCAUCAAUUGAGAAAUUGUGUUGCGCUCUAAUCUGGGCAACCCGAAGACUGAGGCAGUAUAUGUUGUAUCACACGACUUGGCUGAUUUCAAAGUUAGAUCCUUUAAAGUAUAUGAUGGAAUCGACUGCUUUGAACGGGAGAAUGGCUAGAUGGCAGAUCUUGCUUUCAGAAUUUGAUAUAGUAUAUGUCAGUCAGAAGGCCAUAAAGGGAAGUGCAAUAGCCGAUUUCCUAGCUAGUAGAGCCUUGGAGGACUAUGAAUCUUUGAAUUUCGAUUUUCCAAACGAGGACUUGAUGUAUGUGGCGAAUACUGAAGAAAAUCCUCAAAUGGAUCACGUAUGGAAGUUAAAUUUUGAUGGAGCUUCAAAUGCUACGGGUAAUGGAGUUGGGGCAGUUUUGGUAUCCCCAAGUGGAGAUCAUUAUCCUGUUGCUAGCAAGUUGGACUUCGAUUGUACAAAUAACAUGGCAGAAUAUGAAGCAUGUAUUAUGGGCAUUCGUGCAGCCAUUGAACGGAACAUCAAAGUACUGAGAGUAUACGGGGAUUCAGCGUUGGUGAUAUACCAACUCAAAGGGGAGUGGGAGACUAGGGAUCCUAAGCUAAUCGGUUAUAGAAAAUUAGUUCUUGAAUUGGCUGAGGAGUUUGACGAUAUCACUUUCUAUUACCUCCCACGGGAGGAAAACCAAAUGGCCGAUGCUUUAGCUACUCUAGCUUCGAUGAUUCAGGUGAAUAGACUUGAGGCAAUGAGGCCUGUUCAGAUGAGUAUCUCUGAGACCCCGGCUAAUUGCUGCAAUAUUGAGGAGGAGGGAAAAGAUGAUUGUCCUUGGUAUCAGAGUAUCCUACAAUAUGUGAAGAAUCGGGAAUACCCUGAUCAAGCGACAGAGAAUGACAAAAGAACUCUGAGAAAGAUAGCCAUUGAAUAUGUCUUAGAUGGAGAAGUGUUAUAUAAAAGAAGGAAGGAUCAAGUACUGUUAAGGUGUGUGGAUGCUGUGGAAGCCAAGAAAAUUUUGGAAGAAGUCCAUGAGGGUAUUUGUGGGACGCACGCCAGUGGUUUCACGAUGGCCAGACAGAUCAUGAGAUUUGGGUACUAUUGGCCCACCAUGGAAGGAGAUUGUAUUGAUUAUGCCAGGAAGUGCCACAAAUGCCAAAUUUACGGAGACAAAAUACACGUGCCCCCUUCACCUCUUCACGUCAUGACCUCUCCUUGGCCGUUUUCCAUGUGGGGUAUGGAUGUUAUUGGGCCAAUAUCACCAAAGGCUUCUAAUGGGCAUCGCUUCAUCUUCGUAGUAAUUGAUUACUUUACUAAGUGGGUGGAGGCUGCUUCAUAUGCAAAUGUCACGAAAGCAGUAGUCAGCAAAUUCUUGAAGAAGGAGAUCAUUUGUCGAUAUGGAAUGCCUGAGAGGAUCAUAUCCGACAAUGCGAUGAACUUGAAUAAUAGCACAAUAGCUGAAGUUUGUAGCAAAUUUAAAAUUAAGCAUCAUAACUCAUCGCCGUAUCGUCCCAAAAUGAAUGGUGCAGUGGAGGCGACCAAUAAGAACAUUAAAAGGAUUGUGGGGAAAAUGACUGAAACCUACAAGGAUUGGCAUGAGAAAUUAUCAUUUGCUCUCCUUGCCUAUCGAACAUCUGUUAGAACUUCUACUGGGGCAACGCCUUUUUCUCUGGUUUAUGGAAUGGAGGCAAUAUUACCCAUUGAAGUUGAAAUCCCUUCUCUACGGGUGUUAUCUGAGCUACAGUUGGAUGAAGCCGAUUGGAUCCAAUCUCGGUACGAUCAGUUGAACCUAAUAGAAGAAAAGAGGCUAAAAGCUAUUCACCAUGGGCAAAUGUACCAGAAACGAAUGAUGCGAGCCUAUAAUAAAAAGGUUCGCCCCUGAGAAUUUCGUGAAGGGGACUUGGUACUAAAAAAGAUUCUUCCUAUGCAAAAAGAUUUUAGAGGAAAAUGGAUGCCAAAUUGGGAAGGCCCUUAUGUUGUAAAGAAGGCCUUUUCUGGUGGAGCUUUGAUCCUAUGCGAGAUGGAUGGCAAAAGUUUACCAAAUCCUGUAAACGCAGACUCCGUCAAGAAAUACUUCACUUGAAAGAAAGGGGAACCAAAGUGAAAACCCGUGAAGGGCGCUUUGCUUCCUAAAAAAAAAAACUUUGGAGAGGCUAAGGUGAAAACCCGUAAAGGGCACUUUGAGACCAAAGAGGGCUUGAAUCGAAAACCCGGAAAAGGCGACUCAAGUACUGGGCAGGAUUGGAACAUCAGGAUUUGAGCGGAUCAAAUUUUGAUCGGGGGCAUAUGAUUAUCUUGCUUUACUUGAACCAAUAAGAAAGGAUAUGCAACGUCUUGGAUCAUGGACAGAGUAUUGCAGAUCUCCUGAACACAUGUCAAACUCAGAAGGGUCUUCGAAAAGUUUGUACAGAGAAACUCAAGCUGCGAUAACUAGGGCACCUAGUUCUUAUGUGUAUUCUUGAAAAUACAUUCUUUUAUUUUCUUUCUUUCUUCCUUUCUUUUUGUGAAAACGCACAUUCUCAAUCCACUUCUUUGUUAACCUUCUUUCGCCAUCUUUGAUGUUUUAUUCGAGUUAUGAUCGGAACUAGCUUUAUUCUUAUCCAGUGUUGUGAUCUUUUUGCAAAUAUGUUGCAUAGGAAUAAUGAUUAACAAACUAAUAAAACUUUCAGGAAAGAAGUUUUGCACAUUACUCUGGAAAAUUUCUAAAUAAUAUAGGGACCUGAAACAUGACUAUUGUUUAGAAAAUACCAAGUUUAAAGGGUGAAAUAUCUAAGAAGGAAGAGUCUAAGUUAAAGACUAUCCUUUCAGAUUUUGUUGUCUAAACAUUGAUUGAACAAAAUGACAAGCUGUCGUGUUACAAAGCUUAAAUGAACAAGCAAGCAAUGAUCAUCAGGCAAUAGGAAGAGGUUACCUCGGAGAAGAGAGCCUUCACUUGCGCAUAAGACUUUGGUACGACACCUUGAGAAUGGUGUAGGAAACCAGAACGGUUCAGAUCCUAUAUCCCCGAAUUGUGAUAAAAGAGGACAGAGGAAAAGCCACAUAUUUCUACCCUUAGAUUACUGUGAGAGAAUGAUGGUACAAAUUUUGGCGUCCCAGUGGAUAUAACUUUGAGGUUUACAAUGGGGACAGUCUGGCUAAAUGUUUCUUCAGAAAAGUCAGUCAAGCGAGAAGGCGUUGAAGCACGUCAGUCACAAAGCCUUAGUAAACUUCGAGUAAUGACAACCUAAGCGAGAUCAUUCUCGGAAAAAUAAAAUUCUGCAUUCAUGCAAACACCAUUCACAUAUGUCUAGUUAGGAGCAUUUGUUUCAUUUUGAUCAUGUCAUCCUAAUCAUUAGGCAUAAUUAGGUUUAUUAUACAGGUCUUAUCUCCCUGAGAUUACAGUGGAGUAGACCGAAAAAUUUCAGAUCUUAUCUCCCUGAGGUUACAGUGGAGCAGAUUGAAGCCAGAGAUCUUAUCUCUCUGAAAUUACAGCGGAGUAGAUUGAAGCUAGUAAUCCUAUCUCUCUGAAGUUACAGUGGAGCGGAUUAAAAUAAAGGAUCUUAUCUCUCUGAAGUUACAGUAGAGUAGAUCACAUCAGAUUGAAGCCAGAGAUCUUAUCUCCCUGAGAUUACAGUGGAACAGACCGAAAAAUUUCAGAUCUUAUCUCCCUGAGGUUACAGUGGAGCAGAUUGAAGCCAGAGAUCUUAUCUCUCUGAAAUUACAGCGGAGUAGAUUGAAGCUAGUAAUCCUAUCUCUCUGAAGUUACAGUGGAGCGUAUUAAAAUAAAGGAUCUUAUCUCUCUGAAGUUACAGUAGAGUAGAUCACAUCAGAUUGAAGCCAGAGAUCUUUUCUUAAUUCCCGAGAUCGUUUAAAAACUUGAGUUUGAAAAGAUUCGUGUAUUUAGAUUUAUUAUGAAAAUCGAAACCCAGUAAGUUAGAGUACGAUCCUUUCGAAUCUAAACACGAAAUAUUUUUAAAACAAAUUUUGUUAUAUCGAGUAAAAUAAAACACGAAAAUCGUAGUAAAAAAUGUGAAAGCAAAUUACAUUGUUGUUAUACGUGGUAAAAUCAUAAUACACAUAAAAAUAAAAAAUAAUACGAGCAAUAGCAACAAUAUAAAAUAAAUAGAAGUCAUACCUACAAUCAUAUAAAAUAACAAUAUAUAUAAACAAAUAAAUUAAAACAUUCAUAAUGACGAAAAUGAAAUAAAUAAGUAACAAAUACCAUUAAAUAUAAAAAGAUAUAUAUAGACAUAAACUAAAAUAUGUAUAUAUAUAAAUUAACAAAAUGUAUAAAGUAUGUUUUAAUAUAUAAAAGAAACGAUAAAUGUGUAUAUAUAAAAAUAUGUACAUAUAUAUGGGUGUAUAAAACUAUGGAAUAUGAAAAUAAUAAAAUACAUAUAAAAGUAAGUACAUAUAUAUGUUAAAAAAUAAAAGAAAGUAUGUAUGUACAAAUUAAAGUUUAAAAAUAAUGAAAAUAUACGUAUGUAUACGAAUAAACACGUUAAUUUUGAUACAUGUUAAAAAAAUAUAUUGAAAAUGUAUAUAUAUAUAUUUAUGUAAAUUAAGAUAUACAAAAAUAUGUAUGUACGUGCAUAUAAAAUAUAUAUACUUAUAAAAUAAAAGGAUGUGUAUGUAUAUAAAUUAAUAGUAAUAUGUGUGUAUAUACGGAUUUAUAAAAAAAGUAUAUUUUAAACUAUAAAGAUUAUAUAUAAAUAUGUAUAUAUUUAGGAAAAUGAAAAUAUAUAUAUAUAGAUAUAUAGAUAUGUACAUAAGUUGUAAAAUAUAUAAACUAUAUAAGUAUAUAUGUUAUAAAAACAAUGUAUGUAUAUCACAAAAAUAUAUGCAUGUAUAUGUAUAUAUGUGCCGAAAAUUAAAUAAAAUAAAUAUAAACAAAUAGGUAAUAAUAAUAAUAAUAAUAAUAAUAAUAAUAGGACUAAAUCAAAACGGAAACGAAAUCUCAGGGCUGAAAUCAAAAAUGAAAUAGAGUAAAGGAUUAAAAUGUGAGGCGCGCGAAAAGGGAAGGACUGAAAAGGGAAAUAUUCCCUAGUCCUAGAGUGCAACGUUUCAGCGCAAAGGACCAUACAUGGUCAAAGGACCUGAUUGAAACAGAAACAAAACUCGCGGCCCAAAUCAAAAAAAAAUAAAAGGUUUGAUUGCAUUUCAACGCAAGAUGGAGGGACUAAAUGCAUAAAUUACCCAUUAAGGACAAGCAUGUGCAAGAUUCCCCACUAAUGCACCGUUCAUGAUUGAAAAAAAAGACAAAAAAUGUUUUAUAUUUUUAUUCUUUCACUUUUUGAAUUUGCUAGAGGAAAAAGGCUUUGCUUUUUUUUUAAACCACCAUUUUUUUUUAAACACCCAACACUUGGGUUUCUUAACACCUUGAGUGCCACCACGCCACCAAGACCGACGGCCGACGAUGGAAGAAAAACCCCGGCGGCACGGUCACGGCCAACUCCGGUGAGUUUCUCCUCUCCUUAUUUCUUUUGUUUUUAUUUUCGUAAGUAGAAAGAAAUAAAAAGAAAUCAAACUAGAUGUAAAAACACACAAAAAUAAAGAAACGAAAAUUACUUCUCCGAUUCAAAGUUUAUGUUUUUAUUGUUCUUGUGUCCGUAAAAAGAGAGGAAGAGCCCCCUUUGCCGGCCAUCGACCACCGCACCGGUCGCCGGACGCCGGCGACGACGCCGCCGUUCGCGGUGGCCGGAAAACCAAAAAAAGCUCCCUUUUUCUCCUUUUUGCGAAUAGGGUCCAGAUCUGGGGUUAGAAAAGCCGAAAUCCCGGCGAAAAGGGCCAAAAUCGAAAGAGACCUUUCGGUUCUUCCUCUUUCCACCGCCGCCGGAAACAGGUAAACUCCUUUUUACUUUUAUUUUUUUUAUCUUAUAUAUAUGUGUGUUGAUAAUAAAAAAGAGAAAGAAAUACUAUAGAAAAACCGAAAUAGAACGAAAAUAAAGAAAACGAAAAAAACAAGGUGAAUCACCUUCUAAAGCCUUUUUUUUAUUUCUUUCAAUUUUUUCAAAAGCCGAAUCUUCUCUUUUUUGUUACAAAAGUCCCGUUCUCUUUUUUUUUGUUUCUCUUCUUUUUUUUUCCCUUUGGUCCGAUUUUGCUUGUGGCUUUUAUAGCCAAAAAUACAAUAUUCUGUUAAUGUUUAUUGCUCCAUUUUUUGUCAUUUUCCUUUGCUUGUUUGCAGGUGCGGCAAAAGGCAUGGUGGUGGCAGACAGCAUGGGAGAGUGGGAGUGGUGCUGGUGGCAGACAACAUGGGAGAAUGGGAAGAGGCAAGUGGGAGUCUAGGGUUUUGGGAUUGGGCUUGGAUGUUGGGCUAGGUUGAUUUUAGGUUUUGGGUUUUAUUAUUUAGGUUAUUUUGUUGGUAUGGGCCCGGGCAAAAAUGGACUUUUACAUAUAUUAUUCUACUCAUUUACGGCUACUAAUCCAUCAUUUCCAUUGUUGAAUUUGGAAAAUGCCAUUGCGAAAAUUUGGGUUAAGAAUGCUUAAUUGAAAGAAGAUAAAACCCAUCAAAUUAAUUAAUCCCAUCAAUCAAAAUCUUUUGAGAUUCCAAAAACGAAAAAUGCCAUUCCAAUCCAAUCUUCUCCAUGUUUAUUACCUAGAUUUGACCUUCCCUGAGACUAAUAUAUACAUACAAUACAAUCAACAACUAUAUAAUAAUUUUAUUAAAAAAACCUAUGUAAUUAAUUAAUUAAUCACAAGUUUUCGCAAUGUUAGAUCCGAAUAGUAAGAUUUUGAAUGUUUAAAUUCGAAUUUUAUUAUAUGUAUGUACGAAUUUUUAAUUUAAAUUUUAUUAUGAACUAAAUUUCAUCAUGUGUGAAAUAUAUAUAUGGAUAAUUUAAUUAUUAUUAAACUGUUAAUUGAAUCUUAACUCGAGAGAUUUCAUUAUAAUUAUAGCAAUAAAAGAAUAAAAGAAUUAUGAGUUCAAACUUAUUUAAAUGUAUAUUUUCCUCCUAUUUAAAAAUUAAGGUUACCAAGUAUAAUAAUUUUUUCAAAUAUCCAUUUUAAGAAAAUCAAUAGCAAACAAUAGUUAGAAAGUCCAAUUAUUGUGAGAUAACAUCAAUUUUCUUCAUUAAUUGGAGUCAUUUAAAACAAAAGGGUUAAUUGCCCCAAACAUCUUUCAAUUAUGACACUUAUUCUAAAUUGACUCUUAGAUUUCAAAUCAUUCUAAUUAUAUUCUUAAACUGUUGAUGUUAGAUCGAUUAGGUUCUUUUGUUAUGAAAAUCAUUAAUUUAACUGUUAAAUGAUACCUUAAAACUUAAGAAAAAAAAUAUUGUGAAAAUGGAUGCUUUGAAAAUCUUAGUUUAGAGGUUUUCAAAACUUUCACAGAAGCUUUACCAUUCACUAUUUCUUUUCCCCACUUUUACUUUUAAAUUUUAUGCAACAAGGUUCUAGUUUUCUUUGAAUUAUUCAUUUUAACUUUAGCUAUAUAAGAUUUGAAGUGUUAUUUAACAAUUAGAUUAAUGCUUUUAAUAACGAAAGGACUUAAUUAAUAUAAUAUUGAUAGUUUAAGGAUGUAAUUAAAAUAUUUUAAAAUUUAAAGAUCAAUUAAAGUGAAAGUCAUAGUUUAAAGAUGCCUGGUGCAAUUAACUCAGAACAAAAAGAUGAAUGUUAUGAAGGUAAUGGGUUGAGUUGGUUUAGGGUCAAGUUAAUUCGGCUUAGGUUAAAUUGGAUUUUAAUUUGGAUUGUCUCAAAUUUAAGUCACUCAAGAUUUUCAGUCAACUUUUUUCGGGUUUUUUUAUUUGUUUUGGUCAUUUCGGUUUUAAGUAAUUUCUAGUUCUAAUUAUAUGUUGUUUUGAAUUGAAAAUUUCGAAUUAUUAAUUUCUUAUGAUAAAAUCAAAUUAGUUUUGGAAAUGAAUUAAUUAAGUUUAGAUUUCAAAUCCGAAUCAAAAUUAACUAAAUUAGCUUCACUCUUUUAAUUUUAGGUAUGUGGCAAUUCGAUUAAUGAUCCGAUUAAUUAGAGUCUACGAGAUAUUGGUUAAGGAUUUAACAUAAGAUUUAUAUUUGAUGUCUCCAUAAUGUAUAAUUUUAUGUAUUAUCAAUGAAUUAGAUGAUGGCGCAUUAUCAAAAAAUUAAAUUAAAUUCACUUAAUUUUAUUUUUAAUUUCUUUCUUACCAUUAAUUUUAUUAAUAUAACAUUUUAUAUUAUUUUAAAUAAUAUCAACUUAACAAUUUUGACGAUACGUGAAAAUUAAUUAUAUACUUAAUUAUCUUGUUCAGUAUUUUUUUUUCAAAAAAUUUAUAUAAAAUAAAAAUAUAAUGUCAUUAUCCAAUAUAUUUAAAAAAUCAUUUGUGCAGCAAACAACAAAAACGACAAUACAGCAAAAUAGGUUACAAUACAAACUAAAAAUAAAGAUAAAACAAAGCAUUUGCAUGCGAUUUAGAAGUUGCAUGACAUGUGCCAUGUGUGAUGUGUGAAUACCCAACUACAAAAAAAUAGACAGUUUUGUGGUACUAUUUACAGAACAAAAUUAUUUUUAAUGUAAAUUCUUAUUUGACUGCAUUUAAAAAAAAUCAAAAUUUGUCGAUUGAGUCUUUAGCUCGAUUGACAUAGGCAUUGUAGCUAAUAUAGUAGGACGUGGAUUCGAGUAUACUGAAGCGCAUUAUCCUCCUAUUUACGGGUUGAGGAGGAACUAUAGAUAGUUCUAGGCAUUGUGUUAAAAAAUAGCCAGAUAUUAUCAGAACCUCUAAAGAGAUUGUUCAAGAAAAAAAUCAAAAUUUUUUUUUAGACAGAAAUGCUAACUAAAAUAUUAAUAUUUUAAUGAUGUUAGCGUAGCAGUCCACGUGUAUUUUAUGCUGGUAAGACACUAUUUACCUUAUAUUUAUGUCAACAAAUAAUUUAAAAAUCAUAAAAAAAAUAUUAUGAAGUAUAUGUGGAACACAUGUUGCCAUGUUUAAAUAUUUAAAGUUCUUAUCAGCAUUUCCGUUAAAAAUAAUAAUUUGAUUCUUUUUGAAAAGUUCACUGUCAAAAUAAAAUAUGGGUUAAAUUGAUAAAAAAUAUAAACGUUGAAGACCAAAUUUUACAUUAUACCUAACAUAACCCUUUAAAUAAAAGCCAUUAAUAUUUCACUUUAGUUUUCGAUAAACCCCAAAAAUUCCAAUUGGGUCUCAUCUCAAUAUUUUCACACUGCUGCUUCCAAAAAUUCCUUAAAACCAUUGGCACAUUUCCCUGGAUAUUUGACAGGGGAGCUUGAAUUUUUUUAUAUAGAGCUUUUAACAUUUAAAACAGCUGUUUCAUAAACUGAUAAAACAGAAGGGAAAAAAAAAAGCAGCAGCAGAGCAUUUGCAGACCGCAGUACAGCAUGAUGAAAGAAAAAUAGCUUUUUUUAUAAAACAAAAUACCUGCCCACCAAUCCUACUGUACAAAACAAAACAAAAAAGCAUCAAACAUUUAAACACCUUAAAGUUAGAGCAAAAGAACAGAAAGUAGUAAUAAAACUACAACCCAACCUUAAAUGCUAAGAAGAUCAGGUGGUGUUGAUUUAGGUGCUGGGGGCUGUUGUUGCUCGUCUUUUGGGUCCUUUGUGAUUGUUGUUGUAGGUGAGUCUAGAGUUGUGUCUGGUGAUGGUGAUGUUGGGGGCUCAUUGAUUGUGGUGUCUCCCUGUUUCGAGUUUGGUGGUUUUGGGAGUUCGGUUAGGAUUUGAACCACUUCCCUCAUCGUCGGUCGCUCUACAGCUUGUUCUUCGACACAAAGCAUGGCGACGUAGAAUACGUGCAUCACUUCCUGGAGAGGAACUGAUGGGAGUCUGGGAUCAAGGACUUUGAGGACACUUUCUUUGCUUGAGUCUGUCAUUUUUCGAACCCAUUGAACGAUAUCGACUCCGUCACCGAACUCCCCUACUGGUUUUCUGCCACAGACUAGUUCUAACAGGACUACACCAAAGCUAUACACGUCACUCUUCUCGUCUACCUUCAGUGUGUAGGCGUAUUCUGCAAAAAAAAGUACAGAGGAAUUACAUGAAAUUCUAAGGGAAAUUACUACUGGACAGUUGGAACCACCAAAAUCCGGUUGGUCAAACUAUAACUAAAUUGAUGUACUUCGAAAGCUGCAUAUAUUGAUUGAAAUGAUGAAAAUAUGAACUUCAAUAGCACCAAAUCAUGGUAAAACAAAGUCAAAACCGAAGUCCAGAGGAAAUUAUUGGUAGGUAUUAAUGCUUCAUGCAUGAUCCAAUCGCAAAUGUUUAAGUCAAAUGAAACAUCAAGUUCUUUGAACCCUUUUGUUAAAAAGAAGGUAUAUACCUGGAGCUAUGUAACCGUAUGAACCAGCUACGGCGGACAUGCAUUCGGAAGUGCCAGAAUCUUGCAAGAAUUUAGCAAGGCCAAAAUCAGCAACAUGAGCUUCAAACUCCGAGUCGAGGAGGAUAUUGUUCGAUUUCACAUCCCGGUGGACUAUCAAAGGGGAACAAUCAUGAUGAAGGUAGCAUAGUCCCUUAGCCGCCUCGACCGCGAUCUUGUAUCUGGUAUCCCAGUGCAAAUGACCCCCUUUCUUCCCAUGAAGAACCUCUCCUAAACUCCCAUUAGGCAUAUAUUCAUAAACCAAGAGAUUGGUUUCAUGAUUUGAGCAAAAACCCAACAGUCUCACAAUAUGCCUGUGCCUAAUCCUCCCCAGAGUUUGUAUCUCAGCAUUGAAUCCAUGAUCAUGGGAAGACCCUCGGCUCAUUGCCGGUAACCUUUUAACGGCGACCUGGUCACCACUAGGCAUGGAUCCCUUGUACACAAUCCCAGCACCUCCUUUGCCUAUAAUGUUAUCCUCCUUCAAACAAUCCAAAACAUCAUCACAAGUGAAAUCCAAGCGCUGGAACGCGGUUAACUUCCAAGCCCGAGCAUCGCUCGCUUUCUUCAAGGACCGUGCUUUGAUUAUAGCUGCGACUGCGAACAAGAUGGAGAAGACAAGCAGGCCUAUUACAAGCAAAAGCUUCAAAGAUGCAGAGAGUCCACCUUUAACAUGAGUUUCAUGAGUUCCUUUAGCAACCCCAUCUUUGCAAGGCCCCAAAUAAGGACCACACAGCUCCGGGUUCCCCAAAAAUGAGGUGUAGUUGAAGUAACUAAACUGACCACUGCCAGGAACCAAACCGGAGAGAUUGUUAUACGAGAAAUCGACGGAAGUUAAGCUUUGCAUAGUGGAUAUUGAAGAAGGGAUACUACCCAGGAGAUGAUUUCUCGACAGAUUCAGGUAGUUUAAUAUCCUCAUACUUGUGAUCUCAGUCGGAAUUUGACCGGAAAGCUCGUUUCGACUAAGAUCAACAAAGGUUAACAGCUUGCAUUUGCAAAUUUCUGGUGGGAUCAAUCCUGAAAACUUGUUAUGACUGAAAUCAAUCUUUGAAAGUUGCUGCAACUUCCCAAUCUCAGCUGGGAUUGGACCCCAAAACUUGUUGCCAUCGAGAAGAAGCUUUUGAACACCGGAAAAGUUACCGACGCUAGCCGGUAAAGCCCCAGAAAGUAGGUUGUUGGAUAAGCUGAUUUGGCCGAGAUUCACGGAAAUGGAAGAAUCAGUGACCGGGAACUCCCCUGUUAGAUAGUUAUCCUGUAACUCAACUUGUGUAAGCUGUGGUAAUCCCAAAAGGCCUUUAGGGAUGGACCCGUUGAGAUAAUUUUCACCCAUACGAAUCCGACUGAGUGACUCACAUUUCCCCAGCGAUUCUGGGAUUGGACCAAGCAAGAAGUUACCCAAAGUAAUCAACGUUUGCAACGUGUUGCCGGAGCACAUGUCCGGCGGCAAAGUCCCCGUUAACUUGUUCGACGAAAGAUCUAGAACUUGAAGCUUUUUGUUACUGCCCAACUUCUGAGGAAUGCUUCCGGUGAAGUUAUUUUCCCAGAGCUGUAAGACCUCCAACUCGGGCAACUCACCAAUGAAGUCAGGAAUCCGUCCGUGGAGCUUGUUUCUGAAAAGAUUGAGAAGAGUCAAGUUUUUGAGCUGAGCGAAACUCGCGGGAAUCUCACCGGUAAACAUGUUGUUCGAUAAAUCCAUGGAUUUCAAGCUGUUUAAGGUUCCCAGCUCGGGAGUUAAGGAGCCAGACAGUGCAUUCACCUGGAGGAACAAAGUGUCGAGCCUCUGCAACUUACCGAUCUCCGGCGGUAUUUCACCGGAUAACAUGCAGUUAGCGGCGUCAAAACGAACAAGUUCCGACAAGUUCCCGACCUCCGGCGGCAAACCACCUUCGAAACUAUUGAAGUAGCCAAUGUACAACUGCUUCAGCUUCGUUAGGUUGCCGAUUUCGGGUGGGAUUUUACCGCUGAGUUCGUUACCCGAAACGGCUAAAUAUUCAAGAUGCUCCCAACGGCCGUAACUUGACGGGAUCUGACCGCUGAAAUAGUUCCCUCCCAAAUGCAAGUGACGCAAAUUGGGAAGCUCCGUGACGGAAACCGGCAACUCCCCCGUCAUGUUAUUGUUGUAUAAAUCGAGUACCUGUAGAUUUUUCAGCUGGGAAAGCUGGGUAGGAAAGGAACCAUUGAAAACAUUGUUGGAAAGGUUUAGGUAACGGAGAUUGGAUAGGACGGCGAGCUCCGUCGGGAUAGGACCGUAAAGAUCGUUGGCGGCGACGGAGAGGUUUUGGAGGAAACGGAGGUGGGCAAGCGAGGGGGAAAGAGUUCCGGACAGAGUGAAGUUAGUUAAAUCGAUGGAUGUCACGUGACGACCGGUUAAAUCGCACGUGACUCCGGCGAAUGAACAAAGGGGAGUGGUUGCAUUCCAGUUGGAGAGGUAAGAUUGAGGGUCGUCGGUAAUGGAGGAUUUAACAGCGAUAAGUGCGCGAAGCUCCGUAACGGCUCUUGCGGCGGCGCCGGCGGCAUAGCAGUGGGAAAUGUGAAGAAGGAGGAAGAGGAGGAGGAGGAGUAACCUCAUUUUCCCUGUGAUGGAAAUUGGGAGGGAAGGGAAAGUGUAAACGGAAAUGGAAAAGAAAGUGAAUAAAAAGAGUGAAGCAAGUAAGCAGAGAUGUCAUUUUAUUAUGUGUUUUUUUUUUAAUAUUAUCUUUAUUUAUAAUUAUAAUUUAAUGGUAUAUCUGUAUUUUUUAACAAUCAUUGGACAAAUUCCAUUAUUCCAAAAAGAUUUAAUUUAUAAAAUGUUAACAAAUUUAAAAAUUUUAAAAAUAAUUAAAUUAAAUUACUAGAUAUAAAAGUAAAAGGACUGAAUUCUAAAUAUACGAAGAAUACAUGGAGUUGAAGCGUAUUUUAACCCUUAUAAUUAGACCCUUUUUUUGUUCUAUUUAGAAGAAGGGUGAAGAUGGGAAAUGUUAAAAGGUAAAGCAUGAUUGAAGGAGAAUUUUGGUUUGAAGGUACUAAAUCUAAGCAAAGCUAAAAUUUCCAAACUUGUUGAAAUUAUUCCAAUUAUUUGACCCAAAAUAGAAUCAAAAAAAUUAUUAAUAGCACUCUUUUUACUAUUUUAGUCAGCCAGCCAGCUAUCAAAGUUCAAAUCAUUAAACACAAGAAAAAAAGGAGAGCAAAUAUUAGAACAAUGAGGCUUAAGCCAAAGUUGGUAAAAGGAAAUUAGGUACAAGUUUGAAUAUACAAUUUAUUUAAUAAAAUAAAUAAAUUGGUGACCAAAACUUGAGAAAUUAAAGGUAGAGGUGGUGGGAUUUUAUAAGGGUUUAUAAAUCAACUUAAAUUUGAAAAAGUUUAUUUGGUCACCCAUUUAUUAUUUUUAUUAUUAUUGAUGUGAUUGAGUAGUUUAUAUGGUUAUAAAUAGUGUUUCACAUUCUAUUUUGGUUGGAAAGAUUGAAUCGAUUGAAUUUUGAUUUAAUCGUUGUGAAGAUGCAGUAAUAAUUACUAAAAUGUUAUAAGUAAUAAUUAAUAAAUGAUUCGAUUUUUUUAUGUGUCAGAACAAUUGAUUCUUAGUUCAAUUGGUUCAAUAUCAAAAAAUUGUUGAUGUUUUAUAAAGACUUAAUUGUACUAACCAUCCCUAAAUCAUUAUUCUUAUUCUAAAUUUAUCCUUAAACUUUAAAACAUUCUGCUAUUAAAAUCGUUAAUUUAACCGUUAAAUGAGAUGUUAAAUCUUAUGUGAAACAUGAAUAUUGAAAAAGUUUUCAAAGUUUUUACAGAAAUUAUCAUUCACUCUAUUUUUUCAAUUUUACUUUAUUUUUAGUUUUUAAUCAAAAGUUAUACGAUAACAUUUUACCUUUCUUUAAAACUUUCAUUUUAAAAUAUGUCACAUAAGUUUUCACAUGUCAUUUAAAGUUAAAUUAAUAGUUUCAAUAAUGGAAGGACCUAAUAACAUUGAUAGUUCAGGAUAUAAUUAGAACAUUUUGAAGUUUGGGGACUAAUUUAGAACGAAUGUCAUAGUUUGGGAAUGUUUAGUACAAUUAAUCAUGAGAUGAGGUGUGGUGAUUGCUUACCUAAUUCCUUAACUAUGAAGUCGGGAGUUCGAUCUUUGUCUAUGAGAAUAGAACGCAUUUCAUAACCAAUCAUUUACCUCUUCAAAAAACACCAUGACGAGGGGAUCAAUCACUGCUACCAACUAUAGAGUACCCUGAUUUCAAAAAAUUUUAUGAAAAAUAGAAUUAUGAUGGUAGCAGCAUUGAUGGUAAGGAAGAUUUUGGCAAUUAUGGGAAGACUGAUUUUAGUAUUUUCUUUGGAAAAGGCAGAAAUAUAUGUAGAGCAGUUGUGGAGGUUGACCCUUUUACAAUUAUUAGGGCAUUUAUUGUUCUAUUCAUUCCAUAAACCAAAGUAAACUUUCUUUUAUUCUCACAUGCCAUCACAUAUUAAAUAUUAUCUCAUUCUUUUAUUUUUUUAAACAUAAAAAUAUCUAAUUAUUAACUUCUAAUUUCAAGAUUAAUACAAAAAUGCAUAAAAUUAGUGUUAUUAAAAUUAAAUCAAUUGGUUGAAUGAAACUCAAUUGGAAAAUUAACAAAAUCCCAUUGAAAUAAAUAGAAAUACAAAAAAUCAAAAUCGAUUAUAAUGUUUUGAGUUUGUUUUAUUUAUCGUACAAAAUCUUUAAAUUUUAACCACGACUCUAAACAAUUCUUGACUUUCUUUUAAUUUAAUGAUACAUUGAAAUUGAAUUCAUUUUAUGUUAAUUUUUUUCGGAUUUUUUCUAAUUUUUAAUAAUAUUUCCAUUUUUUUAAUUUAGCAUAUUUAAAAACAACAAUAAAAAUUUAGAGUUGUGAGCAUAACAAAAAUCAUACUAUCUAAAAAUCAAAUUUUGGUAAAAAAAAACUUUUGAUUUAAAAAAUAUAUAUUUUAUGUGUGAGAGGCUCAAUGCAACUUGAUCUAUGGUCAAAGUUCUGCAUCAAUGGUAAUAGAAAAUCAGAUUAAAUUAUCAAAUAAAGCUGUUUUUUUAAAUUACAGAAAUAUGUCGAAUUUUUGAAAAAUUAUUGGAAUGGGUCGUUUUUGAUAAAAACACUUCUAGUUGGAGUCGUUUUUAAGGAAAACUCAAACAAACACUUCUAGCCGGAAAAUAUUAAUAAAAAAUAGAAUUUAGAUAGAAGUAGAAUUUUAGUAAAAAAUUAAGAGAGAAUUCGAGAAAUUUAAGAAAGAAAUGUGAGAAAUUGGCAAGUGUGGGGUUUAUAGCUUUUUUUUUACCCUGGGGGGAGGGGGCAACGAUUAUUUUAAAUAGUCGUUGGAAGUGACCGUCGGGGGGAAACGCGUUGAGCUAGACGCGUUUUUCAUUAACGCUUCCAGCUGGAAGCGUUCUACUGGUUAGAGGGGAAAAGUGCUUUUAGCUAGAAGUGUUUUAUAAAAAACGACUCAUUCCCGUAAUUUUUAAAAAAUCGACCUAUUUCCGUAAUUUUAAAAAAUAAUUUUAUUUAAUAAUUUAGUCUAAAAAUCAUAUGGAUUAAUGAUAUAACUAAUGGAAGGAAACGAUAACAUUAUUUACUUAUAUUAUAUUUGGACCGUAUCUAUAUGAACCUUAUAUAGAAAUAUAAUAAUGAUUAUAACACAUCAUAAAUCAUCAUUUAUUUUAUGGGUUAAUUCCAAAAAACAUCCUUAAACUAUUGUCAAAACUUUAAAAUGUUCUAAUUGAGUCUUCAAAGUAUCAUUUGAUAUCAAUUAGAUCUUUUCAUCGGUCUUCCUAUUGAUUUAAGGGUUAAAUGCUAGUUCAAACAUAGAAUUGUUCAUGAGUUGAGCAGCCUUCUUGGCUCGAUUGGCUUAAUCCACGAUUAGGUUAGGCUUGAGUUUAGUUUCUUUAACCUAACUUCAAAAAUUUUUAAUAUAUAAAAAACUGAAAAUUAUAUUUUAAUUUUUUAAAUUGUGAAAUGGAUCAUUUGGAGGGGUCGAGCUUCGGUCUAGAAAUUAUUCGAACAUGACAUGAUGUAUUUUUAAAAACGCAUAAAUCAAAGUGUAAAUAUAUUACUUACUAAUUAACUUGUUAAAAAAAAGAAAAUGGCAUUAAAAUUUAAGAAAGUUAUUUCCUUUAUUUUUUUUCUUUAACACGUGAGAUUCAAACAAAUUCUGUAGUAGAUACACACAGUGGUAGAGCUUAGUAGAGACCCAAGGGGCCAUACCCCCAUAAAAUGGUAAAUUUUUAAUUUAGGUCUUUUAUAAUUUAUAAAAUUUUAAAUUAGUAAUGAUAAAAUUACACUUUGACACCCCAAAAUGAUAAAAGUUUGAUUUAGCAUUUUAAAAAUUAUAAAGAUAUACGCUAUUAAAAUGAUGAAAUUACAUUUUUACUAUCGUAAAAAUAUACAAUUUAAUUCCGCCCCCCCAAAAAAAAUUUCUAACUCCGCCAUUAAAUACACACGUGUUUACAAUUUGAUACAUGUAUUUUAAAUAUGUUCAACAUCAAAUUUAAGCUGUUAUCUAACACUCAAAUGAAUAGUGAGGAUCUAUUUAAAAUUUGAAUCAUAGUUCGAGGAUAUCUACAGGAAUUAACCCUUCACUUUAGCCCACCAAUAUCAAAUUUUUCCACCAAAUUGCUUGAAUUUGUUUUUGGCAAUUCAUAAAAGCAGGGAAAAUGAGAGGAGCUGGCAGAGGGAAAUAUGAUUAGGAUAGUUAUUGAACAUUAAUAAUUUUGGUGGAGAUUGUGGUGGUAACUAAAUAAAAAGUUUGGUCAAUUUUUGUUGUCUCUCAAGACACUAUAAUUGAUGUUUCUGGACAUACUAAACUUUGAGGGAGAUGUCAAAUUCGUUAUUGUUUUCCAUAAUUUAAUACCUCUUAUUUUAUCAUUCGUCUCAUUUCAUUAUGAAUGUAUUAUAUUAAAAAUCGUUAUCAUUUUUAUAGAUAUUAAAUAUAUCAAUUCUCGUCUUACCUCAUCUAAUUUUAAUUUGAUUUUUAUCAAAUACUUUUAAUAAUUAAUUAUAUGUAAAUAUAAAAUGAUAAUUUUAAUAACAGAUAAAAUAAACCCUCCAUCCCCAUCCCUCAUUUCACUUCGCUCCCCCCCCCAAAAUCUGCUCCAUUAAAAAGAUUGAUUCGAAAUUCAUUGGGUGGUUCGAGUUUUGUUAUUUUUCCAUGUAUAAUGCAAUUACAAAUGAUAUACGUUCUAGUAAUUAUAAUUAGAAUGAAACAAAUACAAAACAUGAUCAUACUGAAAUCUAGAAUAUAUCCCCACAAUGCCUACACAUAGUGGACUUAAAUUCAAAAUAAUUUUAAGAGAGAAGUUAUAAGUAAUUAUGCAUGGUGGGGCUUAAAUAUGGGUACGCAAAAACCUAAAUUAUCCUUGUUAUAGUUUUUUCUAAAUACUAAUAAAAUUUUGAGUAGAAUCACUUUAACUUUUGCGAUGAUAUUAAUUAUCUUUUGGCUUAAUACAGGGAGCUCUUCUGCAUUUUUUAAAUUCAUAAUGAAAAUUUUAAUUAUUAACCUUAACAUUUUAAUUAUUAACAAUAAUAAUUUUAUACACGGUCGCUCACAUUGUAAUUGAUCGUGUACAUUAUGCUUUUUUAUUUUUUAAAACUUUUUUUUGAAUAUUUUUAUAAUUUUUAAGUUAUAUGUUGAUAUAUCAUAUAAAACAAAUAGUGUAAUGUCAACAUGAAAUAUACAUCAAUUGUCAUGCAAGUUGCCAUGUGCCAUGAUACAACCUUGUAGGGCCAUUACAGCGUAGGAUGCCAAGCCACCCAUGUAGAGGAACUUGAGAAAGGGUAGAUCUUUUGUAUUUAGGAAAGUGUCUUCAUUUCAAACAUCUUUAUGUUUCCUGGUAGGCAUUUCUAUAAAAACAUUUUAGCAUCUUUGUUGGGGGUAGACAGUCAACAGUUGUUGGACUGAGCUACAAGUUAAGGUAUCACCAUCGAGGGCUACUCCUACGACCCACUAAUGGUGUGGGUAAGUGAGUCCUUUUAUAACCCCUUGUAAUGUUUUUAAUAUAAUAAACCCAUUUUUCCCUCCAGGGAAAUGUGAGGUAAUGUGAGGGCAUUUGUUAUGCCCCACGGAAUAGAAUUAUGGCUUGAGACUAACUUGUGGCAUGCUUGUCUUUAUAAACUAUUGAGAUUAUUGGCUGACUUGAGUAGAAGCGUCCAUCCAAGUGCCUCGUAGGCUUGCAACCGUAUGAACAAAGUUGAGUCUAUGAUAUGUGGUAUCCAAGCUAGCAAAAUCACAUCGUUGAGAACUAAAAAAUGCUGUAGGCAAUGUGUUAAAAGAUCCCCAUACAAGUGGCUCGAAUGACCACCACAGAAUUGAGGAAUUUGAGGCCAUGGUGGCCACCUUAAAAGCCCAUAUGGUCAUGAGUAAUCGAGCAUGAGAGAUUGAGAUAGCCUAGCGGAAGCAAUCUGAUACGGUGAACACCUUUAGUAAGGAAGCGAUUGAUGUUUUGAAUGCAAUAAAGUAGCGAUUUGAGGAAUCAAUAAAAAAUCUUGGCAAUAAUACAAGAGAUACUAUUGGGGCCGUCAAACAGGAGUUCAAUGAACUCAAGGCCCAGGUGAAUGUAAUUCAGAUGAUUGUGAGCUUAGUAGGUUGUUGCUCCACUGAUAGAGGAAAAAAAGGCCAAUGGUCUAGAAUCGCAUUGGUUUGAGGGAGCGCGGGCUGCCAAAGAGCUUGAGAACUUCCUGUUUGAUAUGGAAUAAUACUUCAAGGUGACGUGCACUAACUUGAAGGAAUACAAGGUAGUAAUGGUUACGAUGCAUCUAACGAUAGAUGCCAAGUUGUAGUGGUGUUCUAAAUUUAUCGAUGGUAAGUGCUCAUCAAAACAUGGAAUAGUUUGAGACAAGAACUGAAGAGUCAAUUCUUCCCUAAAAAUAUGGAAUACAUGGCUAGGUAGCAGCUUAAAGAGCUGGCUCAAAUGAGGAAUGUGUGAGACUAUGUGAAAAGUUUUUCCAUCUUGAUGCUAGAUAUCAAGAAAAUGUUAGAGAUGGACAAGAUUUUUACUUUCUUGAGGGGUUCAAUCCUUGGGCUAGAACAUAAAUACAAAGGCAGAAGGUGCAAGAUGGGGCUGCCACAAUGGCUAUAAUUGAGCGUCUUAAUGAUUAUAGGGACGACUCUUCGAAACGCAAGACGCCCUAUUCUAGUGGUAGUAGUUCGAGUUAGGGCAAUAUGGGGAAGGUGGCAAAAACUCAUUGCCCUUCAAAUAGAGGCAAAGAUAUAAGACCACCCUAUAAAUAUUCCACUAAAUUGAGAUCCAACAAUGCCCCUAAUGCCAAACUAAGACAACUUAUUGCUUGUUUCUUGUGUCAAUGACUUUAUCGAGUGGUUGAAUAUCCGUAUAGGGGUGAUUUGAAUGCCUUAGUGGCUUCCUCCCAAGAUAGAACUCAAGAAAAUCAAUCCAAUGAUGACAAUGAGCUUAAGUUGACCAGGAUGGGCUCGAUACAAUUCUUCAAUACCUUACAUUCAUAAUUGAAGAAGUUAAAGAAGGAACUAGGGAGGGGCCUCAUGUUUGUGGAUGUGAUAUUGAAUGGUAAAGCAACAAAAGCCAUGGUGGACACAGGUGUAGCCGAUAGUUUUAUUACGUUUGAUAAGGCAAAAAGAUGUAGGUUGAAGGUCACUAAGGACUUUGAGCAAAUGAAAGUGGUUUUUACUCUAUUUCUUUAAUGAUUUAUAGAAGCUCUGAGAAUCUGAUAAUGAAAUUAGAGUCAUGGGAAUAAGGCGUGAACUUUACAGUUUCCCUUAUGGGAUGAUUUUAAUGUUGUCUUAGGAUUGGAUUACAUGGUUACUACACAGGUGAUCUCGAUUCCCACUACAAGAUGCUUGAUGUUCUUGGAGAAACGCACAUAUGUAGGGUCUGCUACAAUUCUUCUAAUAAGUGGGAAGAUCUUGUCAGCUAUACAGUUUAAGAAAUGGGUAAGAAUAGAUGAACUUUCAUUUUCUUGACAAUCUCUAAAGCGGGAAUUGAAGUGACUUCCUUUCCAAGUGUAGUGGAAAAGGUAUUGAAAGAUUUCAAAAACAUGAUACCAGAUCAGUUCUCGAAAGUAUUACCACCAAGGAGAACUAUGAACGGUAAGAUUUAGUUAAUUUUAAGGGUGAAGCCACCAGCAAGAUGCUCAUAUGGGAUAACUCCACAAGAAUUAGCUAAGUUGAUGAAGCAAUUGGAUGAGCUGCUUUAAGCAGGUUUCAUUCGCCCUUGGAAGGCAUCCUAUGAAGCCCUUGUUCUAUUCCAAAAGAAGUAUGAUGGGAGUUUGAGAUUAUAUUGACUACUGAGCCUUAUACAAAGUGACUGUGAAGAACAAGUACUUAAUCCCUUUGAUUGUCGACUUAUUUGAUUAGUUGAGCCAUGCCAAGUAUUUCACAAAACUUGAUCUUAGAUCGGGCUACCAUCAAGUCAGAAUUACGGAGGAAGAUAAGCCAAAGACAGCAUGUGUAACAUGGUAUAGAGCUUUCAAAUUUCUUAUUAUGCCAUUUGGACUAUCCAAUGCUCCUGCUACAUUUUGUACAUUAAUGAACCAAGUAAUUCAUGAUUACUUGGACAAGUUCGUGGUCAUUUAUCUCGAUGAUAUAAUAGUCUAUAGUCUUUCGUUGGAGGAACAUUUGAGGCAUUUGUGAUUGGUAUUUGUAUUAGAAAAAAUCUGGUUCAAAAAUGGUAUUCUCUACUAUUCUCGUACCAUGAACUACUUUGAAUGUCGGCUCAUACAAUUACGAAUCAAACACAGAACCAUAAAUAAUUUUUGUACUUUCAGUAGAAAAGUAAAUUUCUCUCUUAUAGAAACUGGUAGAAUUGUUAUUCUUAAAAAAUAUAAUUUAUACUUAGAAAUAAAUUCACUAUUUUCACUGGUUCCAACUAUUUAUAGGGAGAGGAAGUGAAACCUUAGUUAAAUUAGUAGAAUGCAUUUAAUGCCUAUUUAAUAGAAGAAGAAAAAAACCAAUCCCCUAGUUGAACUAGGAGAGAGGGGCGACUAAUUAGGUUUGUCUCCUCUUAUAUGUAUUAUGAUGGGGAUUCAAGUCUCUUCUGUAUUGGGUUCAAUUAUAUGUGUUUCCUAAACUUUUAACUCAACACUUUAUAACUUAAUUCAACUCAUGUAGUCACGAAGUCAUUCCACUAUAAUAUCAUGAUUGAUAGACUUCCUCACAACAAAGUCAAUAAAGACGUCGACAGAUUAAGUGGAGAGGGUGUCAUGAUCCAACCUUGUAAGUUCAUGACAAGGUAGAAUGCUAAAGGUCCACCUAUGUAUAGAGGCCAUGGCAAAGGGUAGAUUUUUUGUAUUUAGGAAAAUGUCUUUAUUGCAAACAUCUUUACGUUUCCUGGUAGUGUUCCUAUAAAACAUUUUAGCACCUUUGUAGGGGAUGGACAGUCAACAAUUGUUGGGUUAAGCCAUUAGUUAAGGUAUGUGCUUGGUCACCAUUGAGGGUUUGCCCCUACGACCCAUCGAUGGUGUGGGUAAGUGGACCCUUUUAUAACUCGUUGUAAUGUUUUUAAUAUAAUAAACCCAUUUUUUCCUUUUGGAAAAUGUGAGGUAAUGUGAGGGCAUCCGCUAUGCCCCAUAGGGCUGAAUUGUGGCUUGAGGCUAACUUGUGGCAUGCUUGUCUUAACAAACUAUCGAGAUUGUUGGUUAACUUUAGUGGAAGCAUCCAUCCAAGUGCCUCGUCGGCUUGCAACCGAGGGAACAAAGUUGAGUAUGUGACAUCAUGCCAACAUCGUUAUUAGAUUAAUAUUCUAGUCAAUAUUUCCACUAAAGAGCAACAAUUUGACUUUUUUUAUAUGUUAAUAGUCAAAUUUAGCUAAAAAAAGAGUGACAAUCAAAUUAACAAAAAUUGUAAACCUUGAGAACUAAUUUUAUCACUUUCAUUAUCUUAUGCAUUUUUUAAAUAAUAAACUUAAAAAAAUAUCGAACCCAAAAGAAAAAAAAAACUUAGAAAAUAUUUGUAUAGUGGGAGAUUCAUUGAUUUUAUCAUUUUAUAUGUUUUCUUUUCAAACAACCUUUUCCUAUAGUAGUAUAAAACUUAAAUACAAUGGUGAAAUCAGAAAAAAAUUUUAGGGAAGUGAAAUUAAAUUGUAUAUUUUUACGAUAGUAAAAAUGAAAUUUCAUCAUUUUAAUAUCAAUAUCUUUAUAAUUUUUAAAAAAUUAAAUCAAAUUUUUAUCAUUUUAAGGGGGCCAGAGUGUAAUUUUACCUUUGUUAAUUUAAAAUUUUUAUACAUUUUAAAGGGGCCUAGAGAAAAAAAAUUUCAUUUUAAGGGGGUCAGGACCUCUGUCAGCCCCCCUUGAUUACGCCCCUGCUUAAAUAUACAUUUGAUCCUUCAAUUUGACAUUUUCUCUCAAAUUGGUAUUAUGAUUUUUUAUCUCAACUUGAUACCCAAAAUAUUUUUUCGUCCACAACUCCGGUACAUUUUUGUAAUGCUAUUAAAUCUAAAACAAAGGACACCACAUAUUAUAGUGAUGACAUCAUAAUGAUAUCAUCAUUCGAAAACUAUAAAAAUUAAAAAAUAUGGAAAUUUAAAAAAAUAUAUAAAUAAAAAUUCCAAAAAUAAAUAUAUACAUCUAAAUUUUAAAUUUCUAAAUAUAUAUAAAUUAAAAAAAAAUCUAAAAAGCAUCUCUAAACCCAUAAAUAUCAACCCCUCAAAAAAAAAUUUCAACAAUUAUCUUCUUUCCACCAUCAUCUUCUUAUUCAAUUUAGUUAAAAAAUUCUAAAGCUAAGAGCCUUCACCCUCACAAUUUAAUUUAACAACCAUCCACCCUCACUAUCCCUACUCUCAUAAAUCAAUUUGGAUUUAUUUUCCAAAAAUAAUUAUAAAAAAAAAAACCCCCCACAAAGUUGUAAAUUGGAAAACCAAUGAACUACACGAUUUGAUUAUUUGAAUUGUUUUAUUUUAUCCUAUUAGAAUUGGUUUAUUUUUUAUUUUAUCCGAUUUUUUUUAUAACAAUGCAAAAAAAAAUGACCUUAGUAAUUUGAUUUUCUAAUUUUGUAUAGUAGCAACCCAGAAAAUCAAUUCUAUAACCAUGAAAGUUUUGGAAGGGUGGAAUUUGGUGAAGAAUUCUAGGGGUAGGCAGUAGGGAGUUGAAGAUCAACUUUCUUUUUACUGGAUUUUUAUUCCAAUAGAAAAAGGAGGGUUUGAAGGCAUGGAAUUGGAAAUCUAGGAAAAAGAAAGUCAAGGUUGCAUGAAUGAUCUUUGAUGGAAGGAGAGUAGAAAGAGAUGAAGAGAAGUAAACAAACACAUUAUCUAAAACUAAGUCAAUUGAAUCUUACUUCGAUUGGUAUGGGCAUUGUUGUUAAUGCAAGAAGACAUAGAUUUGAGUGCAAUAAAAUACAUUAUCCUCCUAUUUAUGUGUUGGAAAAGAACUAUAAUAGAUAAAAAAAAUUGGGACAACAAAAAAGAAUAAGUACCAACUUAAAAAAAUAUCAAAUUCAGGGGUGAAAUGUUAAGCCUUAAAAAGAAACACUGAGCCCAAAGCUUUUUCCAACCCAGAAAACACGACGUUCUUGUACCUAAAACCAAUCUAUCACUGUUUUUUUAUAUUGCCUUGAAAGCAGUUCUUUAUGUCCCCUCGAGCAAUUAAGUAUCCAUAGAUUAUGAUGAUAAUUCAUACAUGUAAUGUGACUGUUUAUGUGCUUAUCCAUUAAAUAUUUCACUUUGAUUUUCGAUAAAACAGCUGUUUCAUAAACUCAAACAGAAAGGGAAGAAAACUAGCAGUACAGCAUGAUGAAAGACGAGCUUCUUCCUUUUUUAUAACAAAAUACCCCCACCAAUCCUACUAUACACAAGAAAAGGAAAAAAAAAAAACACCAAACGUUUAAACACCUUAAAGUUAGAGCAAAAAGAACACUAAGUAGUAAUAAAACUACCAUCCCUUUGGAACAUUAACAUCCUUAAAUGCUAAGAAGAUCAGGUGGUGUUGAUUUACGUGCUGGUGGCUGUUGCUGGUCUUUUGUGAUUGUUGUUGUAGGUGGGUCUAGGGUUGUGCACGGUGCCGGUGAUGUUGGGGACUCUGAGUUUGGUGGUUUUGGGAGUUCAGUUAGGAUUUGAACCACUUCCCUCAUUGUCGGUCUCUCUACGGCCUGUUCUUCAACACAGAGCAUCGCAACGUAGAAAACAUGCAUCACUUCGUGGAGAGGAACCGAUGGGAGUCUGGGAUCGAGGACUUUGAGGACGCCUUCUUUGUUUGAAUCUGUCAUCUUUCGAACCCAUUGAACAAUGUCGACACCGUCACCGAACUCACCUACUGGUUUUCUGCCACAGACGAGUUCUAACAGGACUACACCAAAGCUAUACACAUCACUCUUCUCGUCUACCUUCAGCGUGUAGGCAUAUUCUGCGAAAAAUACAGAGGAAUUAUAUGAAAUUCUAAGGGAAAUUAGUACUGGACAGUUAGAACCACCAAUUUUGGUUGGUCAAACUAUAACUAAAUUGAUGUACUUUGAAACCUGCAUAUAUUGAUUGAAAUGAAGAAAAUAUGAACUUCAAUAGCACCAAAUCAUGGUAACACACAGUCAAAACCAAAGUACAGUAAAAAUUAUUGGUAGUAUUAAUGCAUAAUCCGUGAUCCAAUCCCAAAUCAUUAAAAAAGUCAAAUGAAACAUCAAGCAAGUUCUUUGAACCCUUCUGUUAAAAAGAAUAGUAUAUACCUGGAGCAAUGUAUCCGUAUGAACCGGCUAUGGCGGACAUGCAUUCGGAAGUGCCUGAAUCUUGCAGGAAUUUAGCAAGGCCGAAAUCAGCAACGUGAGCUUCAAAAUCUGAGUUGAGGAGAAUAUUGUUCGAUUUCACGUCCCGGUGGACUAUCAAAGGGGAACAAUCAUGAUGAAGGUAGCAUAGUCCCUUAGCAGCCUCUACAGCGAUCUUGUAUCUGGUAUCCCAGUGCAAAUGACCCCCUUUCUUGCCAUGAAGAACCUCUCCUAAACUCCCAUUAGGCAUAUACUCAUAAACCAAGAGAUUGGUUUCAUGGUUUGAGCAAAAACCCAACAAUCUCACAAUAUGCCUGUGCCUAAUCCUCCCCAGAGUUUGUAUCUCAGCAUUGAAUCCGUGAUCAUGGGAAGACCCUCGGCUCAUUGCCGGUAACCUUUUAACGGCAACAUGGUCACCACUAGGCAUGGAUCCCUUGUACACAAUCCCAGCACCUCCUUUGCCUAUAAUAUUAUCCUCCUUCAAACAAUCCAAAACAUCAUCACAAGUAAAAUCCAAGCGCUGGAACGCGGUUAACUUCCAAGCCCGAGAAUCACUCGCUUUCUUCAAGGACCGUGCUUUGAUUAUAGCCGCAACUGCAAACAAGAUGGAGAAGACAAGCAGGCCUAUAACGAGCAAAAGUUUCAAAGAUGCAGAGAGUCCACCUUUAAUAUGAGUUUCAUGAGUUCCUUUAGCAACCCCAUCUUUGCAAGGCCCCAAAUAAGGACCACACAGCUCAGGGUUCCCCAAAAAUGAGGUGUAGUUGAAGUAACUAAACUGACCACUGCCAGGAACCAAACCGGAGAGAUUGUUAUAAGAGAAAUCAACUGAAGUUAAGCUUUGCAUAGUGGAUAUUGAAGAAGGGAUGCUACCCAGGAGAUGAUUUCUCGACAGAUUCAGGUAGUUUAAUAUCCUCAUACUUGUGAUCUCAGUCGGAAUUCGACCUGAAAGCUCGUUUCCACUAAGAUCAACAAAGGUUAACAGCUUGCAUUUGCAAAUUUCUGGUGGGAUCAAUCCUGAAAACUUGUUAUGACUGAAAUCAAUCUUUGAAAGUUGCUGCAACUUUCCAAUCUCAGCUGGGAUUGGACCCGAAAACUUGUUGCCAUCUAGAAGAAGCUUUUGAACACCGGAAAAGUUACCGACGCUAGCCGGUAAAGCCCCGGAAAGUUGGUUGUUGGAUAAGCUGAUUUGGCCGAGAUUAGCGGAAAUGGAAGAAUUGGUGACCGGGAACUCCCCUGUUAGAUAGUUAUCCUGUAACUCAACUUGUGUAAGCUGUGGUAAUCCCAAAAGGCCUUUAGGGAUGGACCCGUUGAGAUAAUUUUCACCCAUACGAAUCCGACUGAGCGACUCACAUUUCCCCAGCGAUUCUGGGAUUGGACCAAGCAAGAAGUUACCCAAAGUAAUCAACGUUUGCAACGUGUUGCCGGAGCACAUGUCCGGCGGCAAAGUCCCCGUUAACUUGUUCGACGAAAGAUCUAGAACUUGAAGCUUUUUGUUACUGCCCAACUUCUGAGGAAUGCUUCCGGUGAAGUUAUUUUCCCAGAGCUGUAAGACCUCCAACUCGGGCAACUCACCAAUGAAGUCAGGAAUCCGUCCGUGGAGCUUGUUUCUGAAAAGAUUGAGAAGAGUCAAGUUUUUGAGCUGAGCGAAACUCGCGGGAAUCUCACCGGUAAACAUGUUGUUCGAUAAAUCCAUGGAUUUCAAGCUGUUUAAGGUUCCCAGCUCGGGAGUUAAGGAGCCAGACAGUGCAUUCACCUGGAGGAACAACGUGUCGAGCUUCUGCAACUUACCGAUCUCCGGCGGUAUUUCACCGGAUAACAUGCAGUUAGCGGCGUCAAAACGAACGAGUUCCGACAAGCUCCCGAUCUCCGGCGGCAAACCACCUUCGAAACUAUUGAAGUAACCAAUGUACAACUGCUUCAGCUUCGUUAAGUUGCCGAUUUCGGGUGGGAUUUUACCGCUGAGUUCGUUACCCGAAACGGCUAAAUAUUCUAGAUGCUCCCAACGGCCGUAACUUGACGGGAUCUGACCGCUGAAAUAGUUCCCUCCCAAAUGCAAGUGACGCAAAUUGGGAAGCUCCGUGACGGAAAACGGCAACUCCCCCGUCAUGUUAUUGUUGUAUAAAUCGAGUAUCUCAAGAUUUUUCAGCUGGGAAAGCUGGGUAGGAAAGGAACCAUUGAAAACAUUGUUGGAAAGGUUUAGGUAACGGAGAUUGGAUAGGACGGCGAGCUCCGUCGGGAUAGGACCGGAAAGAUCGUUGGCGGCGACGGAGAGGUUUUGGAGGAAACGGAGGUGGGCAAGCGAGGGGGAAAGGGUUCCGGCCAGGGUGACGUUAGUUAAAUCGAUGGAUGUCACGUGACGACCGGUUAAAUCGCACGUGACUCCGGCGAAUGAACAAAGGGGAGUGGUUGCAUUCCAGUUUGAGAGGUAAGAUUGAGGGUCGUCGGUAAUGGAGGAUUUAACAGCGAUAAGUGCGCGAAGCUCCGUGACGGCUCUUGCGGCGGCGCCGGCGGCAUAGGAGUGCGAAAUGUGGAGGAGGAGGAGGAGGAGCAACCUCAUUUUUUUGGGUUCAG